This 69840-nucleotide long non-coding RNA is filed under the name Brassica napus (rape). RNAcentral describes it as "long non-coding RNA (BNAP_LNC010491)". The record is from RNAcentral. Lineage: Eukaryota; Viridiplantae; Streptophyta; Magnoliopsida; Brassicales; Brassicaceae.
UGAAGGAGAGAUCGCAAGGUCCAUCGGUCUAUUAAAAGAGCUUCAUGUGCUCAACUUGUCUAACAAUGCUUUCACUGGCCACAUCCCUUCAUCUAUGGGAAACCUGACGGCUCUUGAGUCACUAGACGUUUCCCAAAACCAGCUUUCAGGAGAAAUUCCGCUAGAGCUAGGGGAACUCUCAUUCCUUUCCUACAUGAACUUCUCUCAUAACAAGCUCACAGGUCUAGUACCAGGCGGUACUCAGUUUCGAAGGGUGAAUUGCACUUCCUUUGAGGAUAAUCCGGGACUUUUUGGCCCUUCUCUUGACGAAGUUUGCAGAGAUAUCCACAUGCCAACACCGCAUGAAACACCAGAAUCAGAGGAAGAAGAAGAGGAAGAGGUGUUGAGUUGGAUAGCAGCUGUAAUAGGAGUCAUACCUGGUAUUGCCUUUGGAUGGGUGAUUGGAUACAUACUUUUUUCCUACAAACCAGAGUGGUUCAUCAACCCUUUUGUCCGAAACAAACGCAGACGCAACCGCACCACAACUCAUUAAAAAGGUAAUUUUCAAGAGUUUUAAAUCAACUUGUUAGCAAACACUGGAAGAAACAAAAAUAUUAUAGUCAAAUCACCUGAAUAAGCCUUCUUCUUCUUUUUUUGUACAGAUCUUUUAUAGCCUGCCUGAGGAAUCUGAAAGAAGAAAUACAAAGGAACCACUAUGUCUAUCCGUAUCAAAUAAGAUUUGGGGUAUCGUUUCCCUGUUCUUUUUGCUCUUUCAUUUUUGAUAUCCAAGAAAAAUUAUAAAGAAGAAUGAAAGGUUUUUGGAACUUAACGAGUACCAUUUCUCUUCCUAUACUUUUCUUAUUCGGCUACAAUUAUGAGGACGUGUAUGCAGUUCCUACCACGUGCUUAUGUCAUCCGGAACAAAGGGAUGCACUUCUUCAGUUGAAGAACGAGUUUGAGGUUCUAAACUCUUCCUUUGAUUAUGAUUAUUGCAUUAUUUAUGAUAUUAAACCUCAUCGGAAGACAGAGUCAUGGGUGAAUAACAACGACUGCUGUACUUGGGAUGGUAUCAUGUGCAACCCCAAGUCUGGUGACGUGAUCGAGCUAGACCUUGGUUGCAGCAACCUACGUGGCUGGUUUCGUUCCAAUAGCAGUCUGCAAAACCUUCAUUCUCUAACCACCCUAAACCUUUCACUUAAUGAUUUUAGUGGUCAAAUCAUGUCUUCAAUUGGAAACCUUUCUCAUCUCACCUCUCUCGACAUUUCUUGGAAUAAUUUCAGCGGGUUCAUUCCUUCUUCGAUUGGAAGCCUGUCUCAUCUCACCUAUCUUGACAUUUCUUCUAAUCAAAUUUCAGGUCGAUGUACAUGGGAUAUUACUUUUACCAUGAUUCAGUGGUUUUGAUGAAUAAAGGUUUAGAGAUAGAGCACUCGACUAUUCAGGAAACAAAUUUGAAGGAGACAUCCCAAGGUCCAUUGGUCUAUUGAAAGAGCUCCAUGUGCUCAACUUGCCCAACAAUGCUUUCACUGGCCACAUCCCUUCAUCUCUAGGAAACCUGACGGCUCUUGAGUCCCUUAACGUUUCCCAAAACCAGCUUUCAGGAGAAAUUCCGCAAGCGCUAGGGAGCCUCUCAUUCCUUUCGUACAUGAACUUCUCUCAUAACCAGCUUACUGGUCUAGUACCAGGAGGCACUCAGUUUCGAAGGCUCAACUGCACUUCCUUUGAGGAUAACAAGGGACUUUCUGGCCCUUCUCUUGACGAAAUUUGCAGAGAUAUUCACACGCCAACACCGCAUGAACUGUUGGAGUCAGAGGAAGAAGAAGAAGAAGAAGAGGAAGAGGUGUUGAGUUGGAUAGCAGCUGUCAUAGGAGUCAUACCUGGUAUGGCCUUUGGAUGGGUGAUUGGAUACAUACUUUUUUCUCGCAAACCAGAGUGGUUUAUGAACCCUUUUGUCCGAAACAAACGCAGACGCAGCAGCACCACAACUCAUUAAAAAGGUAAUCUUCCAGAGUUUUAAAUCAACUUGUUAGCAAACAUUGGAAGAAACAAAAUUAUUAUAGUCAAAUCACCUGAAUAAACCUUCUUCUUCUUAUUUUGUACAGGUCUUUUAUAUCCUACCCGAGUGGUUCAUGAACCCUUUUGCCCGAAACAAGCGCAGAAUCAGCAGCACCACAACUCAUUAAAAAGGUAAUUUUCCAGAGUUUUAAAUCAACUUGUUAGAAAACACUGGAAGAAACAAAAAUAUUAUAAUGAAAUCACCUGAGUUAACGUUUUCUUCUUUUUGGUACAGGUAUUUUAUACGCUACCUGAGGAAUCUGGAAGAAGAAAUCCAAAGGAACCACUAUGUCUAUCCGUAUCAAAUAAGAUUUGGGAUAUCGUUUCUAGUUUAGCUUGGUGUUUUCUCAUUACUCUAUUUUUACUUUUUUUAGCAAACUUCUUUGUUCCUCUGGUACUGUUUCCGUUUUAGCUUGGUGUGUUUUUUCUCUAUCUCUAUUUUUUUUUACGUUUUAUUAAACUUCUUUGUUUCUCUGUAAUUGAACAACUAUGUUUCUUACGCUGAAAAUUACAAGCACAGUCAAAGAUGUGUCGUCUUUUCCCCUCUUGUGCAUCUAAACGCCAACUGUUUAGACGUGAGAUGACCAUUGAACAGAUGAUCCAGAUCAACGCUAUAAACAACACAUGGCUUUAGAAAAGGAUAUACAUAUUAUAUAUGGAUAUUUCGAUUGUUCAUAUCAAUGAGACGCAUAAAUUCAUAGAAACUAUAGACUUUGCAAAUAUAAUUAUCAAGAUUCCAUUUUGUGUAUAUACAAAGUUCAAAAGGUUUAAAGCUUAUGAUUUUCGAAUGUGACAAUACAAAAUAAAAAAGUUUGCAUUUUUUUUUUUUUUUUUUUUUUUUUUGAUAAUUCUGGUAUCUGGACAGUUACAUUCUUAACUAUCCCCGUAAGGGGUCUAGCGCCCCAACGGAAGAGAUGUUAAAUCCGCUGUGGCCGGGGAUGGAAGUGUUUGCAUUGAUUUAUCUUGUGAUUGGUAAUAUUCUCAUUGAUAAUGAAUGAUGAAUAGAAGAGGAAGAGAAAUGGCUAGUAAAGGGGUCUUGUUUUCUCCCUGUCCACACUCUCUUGUUUCUAAUUCAACCUUUGAUUGUUUGAUUAAAUAUGUAUAAUCUAAAUUAACAAUAACCAAAUAUAUAUAUACUCAACUAAAAUUUGGGUUAACGAUCAUUGUCCAUUUUAUAAGAAAAUUCCUCUUGGAUCUUUCGUUUUAUAUUUUUGUUGACUGACUUUUUUACCGAAUCCAAGUCUUGCUUCUCUUUGUUUUGAAGUCCACGAUCUCAAAAAGGAAACAGCCAACUGAUUGGUCACUUUCACAAUCCAUCUGGUACGUUAUCCUUUGAUUUUUCAACAUCUUUACUAUUAAACCAGGAUCUUAUUGUCCUUUUUACCUUACUCUAUCCUUUCUUUACUAACAUUGCAUGUUUCAUUAACGGUAAUCAAGUAAUAUUAAUAACACAUAUAUAUAUUGGACCAUUUUUUCAGGAUCCAGCCCACUGUCCACAUCAGAUCUCUUUUGGGUCAUUUGGGUCGAUUAAGAAAUCAGAUCCAAUUCUCACAUUUUUUUUUCCUUUCGGACAUUGAGUCCAAGUUCAAAUAAUUUUUUUUCAACUAUAAUUUUCUUAAUAUAAUUUAAGCAUUCAUAAAAAAAAUUGAUUUUUUCGUUGAAAAGUAUAAAUCUUUAUUAAAAGUAUAUAAUUAUUUGUAUUAAAAAUAUUAACCACAUAAUAAAAUUAACUUAUCAGAGUUAUACCAACUUAAUUCAUUAAAAAUAAAGUUUAAUUUUUUAAACAUAAAUAGUCAUUUAAAAUGAAACACGAUAAGUAAAGAUAAAAAGUUUAAGUCUUUUAUAAAAUAAAAUACAAAUAUAUGAAAUAUGACAUUUACUAAAUAUUUUGACCAUUGAAAAAAAAAGAAAAUAAACCCGCGCUUUGAAAGCGCGGGUCAAAAUCUAUUAUUAUUUUAUCUUAUUAAAACUGAAGUACAAAAUUGUAGUGUUUGGAGACUUGAAUAUGACUAUUCAAAAAUUUUGGAGUGUUUGGAAACAUGGAUUGUAGUCUUUUAAAAAAAAAAUUACUUUUGUCUGGAAACAAUGAUAGGAGUAUUAAGCAAAAAAGUAAUGGGUUUAUGUUAUUAAGAAAAAUUGAAAGUUCAUCAUAUUAUAAGAAACUAUAUAUCUGGACCAGUUUUAAAAUAUACGAAAAUUGGUCAAUCUAAUUGCAUAAAACUUUUUUUUCUAAACUAUCCAUAUAACAAAAUUUAAACUUUAUAUACAUAUUUCAAAUCAAAAUAACAAUUCAAAGUUGAUUUAUAUCAAAAACUGAUUGAAAAAUAUACGUAUAUUCAAAAAUGGAUUUUUACUAAACUGUUUUUCAAUAACCAUUAUAAAAAAAUGCUGUCAAAAUAUAUAAGAAAAAUAUAAUACAAAGCUCAAUUUGAAAUACCAACUCAAAUUAUGGUUUUUAUAUUUCAUAUUAAGUUUGUAAAAUAUAAUAUAUGUAAUUAUUUAUAUGAUGGUACGUAUAAAAUACUAUUAAUUAUAUGAUUACUUAUAUGAUGGUACGUAUAAAAUACGAUUAAUUAUAUGAUGACAAUAUACGAUAUAUAAUAAUGACUAAGGAUGGACUUUCGGGUAUCCAUACGGGUUUGGUUCUGAUCGGUUUGCGUUUCGGGUUUUCGGGGUCAAAGAUUUCAGCCCUAUUAGGAUGUUUCUAAAUUUUGGUUUGAGUUUGAUUCAGAUCUUUGAGGGUUUGGUUCGAGUUUGGAUAACUCAUUUAAAUUAUUUUUAAAGUUUUAAAUCAUUAUAUAUUUAAAUUUCUCAAAAUCGAUAAAUAAAAUAAUAUAUUAUCUAUAAAUUUGAAUAAUAUCAUUUUACCAAACCCUAAUAAUUACAUGAAAAACAAAUAUCAACAUAUUUUUCAAAAUAUACACCCGUGCAGGCGUGUAGAUCAAAAUCUAUAAUCAUUUAUUUUAACAAUAAGCCAAAUAAAUAUGUAGAUUGGAGAGGGAAUAAAACAAAGCCAAAGAAACACAUAGUUUACCAGAGACACUCUAUGUGUCGAAUUUAUUAUAAAUAAAGUUUUACUAAGAUAAAUACAUUCAAUAAUUACAAACAAAUAAUAUAUUUCAUAAAAGUGAAAAAUAAUAGCCGCGCUUUUGAAGCGCGGAUCAAAAUCUAGUUAUACUUGGAUAUGGGCAUCAAGUUUGAUGAUGAGAUUCAUGGUCUGUGGCUUCUCGGUACUUUACCGAGAGCCACUACAUGAUCAUGAUGUGUGUGACCUACGAGCUUGGACUCAAACCCACGAGCCAAUCAUGUGAUGAAUCGAUUUCCUUCUUUGAUAGUAGACUGUUAGAGGAAUCGAAGAAGAUGAGAUGAAACGAGAAAGAUGAAAAAUGAUUCUGUUAUUCAGUUACAGAGUUAGUUAAUCUGUUUAUAUAUUAUAGAGUAACCGGUUUAAUUACAUGGUUUAUACUAAAACAAUUAUACAAUCCCGGUUAACUCUAAUACCUCUCCUCAAAAUGGCAUGUAGAUUGAGCUAAAUGACAUCUUGUUCAGUAAGCUAUGGAAGAUUGCAGGAUAUAAGGGCUUGGUAAAGACAUCCGCUCUACGUUUGCUUAGCAGAAACAGAGACCUGAAGCAGCAGCUCUACGUUUGCCAAGCUUGGUGUGAAGGUUUAUGUCCUUAAUCAUCAAUUAUCUCUUGGUAUGCUUAACCAAAGAGUGAGGAAGUUGGUUUAGCCGGUUUAGGUAAUAACCAAGUCACAUGUAUGUCACGUGUGUAUUCUUUGUAAACGACUAAGAUAAAGUCGUCGUAUCUUCUUCUUCCUCAUUAACAGAAGAAACGAUCUGGGUGAUUAGAGCUGUAACAGAUGGUGAGUGAGAGCAGCAUUGUAGAGAGAGAUCAAGAGCUCGAGUUGGAGCUGUUCUAGUGGAUUGCUGGCUGAGCCCAGCCCCGGUGAGUAUAGCUCCUUCUCCACAUUGGAGGAGAGAGGUGAACACCGCGCAAACAAGAUUCUUGUGUCUCUUUUCUUUAUCGUUUCUAAUCUCUUCUUUCACACAAAAGAAUCCGAUCAACAAUGAGUAGUUAAGCGACUGAGAGUCUAAGGAGUGGAUUGAGCUUAGGGAUCUUCACACUUGAAUCUUUCAAGCUCCAUCUGCAUAUCCAUCAACAUGUUCAUCCGUUGCAACUCAAGCUCCUUUGCAGCUUCCAUCCUCUGCUUCUCCAACUCAACCAUCAUCCUCUGCUUCGCACCUUCCAUCCUCUCGUACACCUCCCCCAACUUCAAAAUCGCCCUCGCCAGCUCCCUAUACACGACGACCCUUCACACAGAUCUACAUCUCCUAAAUGACUAAAAGCUUUAGAACAAGCAAAUGUCUAUUUGGCUAAAUAUUGACUCUUUUUGAUUACUUCCGUUGUACAAAUUUCAUGUUUUGUCCUCAGUAUUUAGUUAUUUCACGAGCUAUUUUUAGUACUAACUUCACAUUCGAUUGAGUUUGUAAAGGUCUCAUUUAUUUUUCCUUUCUGUCUUCAACUUACUAAGCCAUAAUCACAGUGUUCUUGUAACGACCCGGUUCAUCAAAAUCGGUUUGGUUUGGUUUAAUUACAAUUUUAAUUAUAACUUAAACCAUCCUCCUUAAUUUUUGGUCAAAUCGUGCAAUUUAUAUAUCAUUGUACGCAUCUCCCUUCCUCUCAUUUGACCUAGCCGUAAUCACCAUCGCAGCCAUUCUUCAUCGCUAUCUUCUUCUUCAUAUUAACCAUCUCACGUCAUCUUCACGUUCUUCUCUCAUCACGUUGUUUUCGUGAGGAUGAAUUGAUAUGGAGUAUUGCCGUAUCACCUCCGAUCGUCACCACCGUUGCGCUUGUGAACUAAUCACCACCGUCCACCACCACCACCUCUCGUUGGUCAGCACCAGAAUCAUCAUGUUGACCCAAGGCAGAGCUGGAGAUUCCUUACCGUGUCGGAGCCACCGUUCAUAACAAACAAUCGCUCGUUUGAUCCAAGCUUGAUGGCGACUUGUUGUGUGUGCCAUCACCACCUCCACAUGUGUUACCACCGGAGUCGGCACAGCCUUGCCGUCAGAGAUCCAUCGCCAUUUCAUGUAGUCGUUUCGUACUAGGCUUGUGAUAUACGGAAAACGCGAUCAAGCCGAGAAGGAGGGGAACCGUGCGAAACUGGAGCCACAUUCUCUUCACCGACGACCACCGAUCUGGGCCGCCAUGAGCCGUUAGCCACCUGAGAGCUGAGCCGUGUCACUGGAGAUAUGGACUUCGAACUGUAGCUAUGUCCAAGAAGGUUAAGUGUAUCAUUAGUUGUUUCUUGUGAUACAAGGAACAUAUUUUAACAUGCACUUUUACCAUGGCAUGCGCAGGAAGCGAUCAUGGACCUUAUGGGGACUUGUUUGCCAAGCCAUUCCCUCUAAAGCCUAGAUGUUUGAUGAGGCAUAUCAGUUCCCGAGUAUGACCUGAUCAAUCUCCGAUCUUGGCUAAGGUGAGGGUCUAUUCCGUAAAUCCCGUACGAGUGUAGAAUUCUCUCUAUCGUAGUUUAUAUUUUGAAUCAUGAUCCGUCUGUUUGAAUUGAGUCUGUUUGAGUCUUGAUUGUUAGUCAGUUCAUUCAUAUAUAUAUCCGUAUGAGGAGAUGCGGGGUGUAUGGACUAGCUAUAUGCUAUCAUCGCAUUGUUUGUGUUGUGAUGCUUUAAGCAUCUUGUUUGUUCAUGUUAGAGCUAAACUUCCAUAGUGGAAGUUCUAUUUACUCAAGUCAGUGGUUUGCGUGUUUAGCAUCCCAUACCUCACGGAGUAACUCCCUGUUGCUCACCCCCAUCUUCUCAUUGCAGGUGAGCUUGCCGAGUAGUUGGAUAUCUGGACGGUUUGGUGUCUUGGAGAUCACAUAUUUUAUUCCGGUUUUACAUUCGAUUUAUUAGACGUAUUUUUAUAAAUCAAUUUGAAGAUGUAAUUCUUUUGUAUUUAUUUUAUUAAAUGCUUUGGUAUUUUAUUCGGUUUUGAAUAACUCGGUUUGAUUCGGUACUUUUCGGUAAGUAGCACGCCGGUCUCGAAAGAGGAGGAGACGGGUGUUACAGUUCUGCUAAUGAUUUCCUUAACCACAUCGUUUAUCAACAUGCCUUUAACUAAACAAGUUGGAAAUUAUAACCCUCUGAGCUAUCUAGAGGGUUACAUUUGACUUUUAAUGUUCUGAGCCAAUUUGAAUCUCCGAGCCCUAGAUAUCUUCAUUUCCGUCAAGGCUACGCAAGAUUGCUCUCCAGAGCCUCCUCGUGCCACCAAUGUAGUAAUCGAAGUUGUGUGAGAGCAAAAGCCCUCUCGAGAGCUGAGGUAUUGCUCUAUUCAGGAUGAUCGGCUCCUAUAUAUGUAUUUUAAGAUAAGUUUUGAUAAAAUUAUACAAAGCUCUUUUGAAUUUGGAUUAGGGCUAAUGUUUCAGUAGGCUUUGCUCCUGUUUCAACUCUAAUAUUAACAAUUCACUUGCUAUGUUUCAGAUGAGUUUGUUGUUUUCUUGAAGCUGUUUCUGCGCUUUGUAUACUUGUGUGCGAUCUUGUUUAAUAAGUUUGUAGAGUUGGACAUGAAUGUAAUGAUGCUCUUGUAGGCUAAAUCAUCAAGCGUUGAAGCAUCUAUGUAGUUUAUGGCUGUGACAACUCUGCUGAGGUUGACGUGGGGAUUGUAUUUACCGAAGUUCAAAAGACUUCCCACUCCUUUAAGUUCCUGUCUUUACUUUUCGACCCAUGACUGGCUUAAGUUUUCUUCUUGUAAAGAAGGUUUUCUCGGACUUUCUCUUGGUCUUCUCUCAAGCAAGUACACAAGCUGCCUACAGGGUUGCGUGGCCUUAACAUUAUAGAACCGUCUCUCUCUCUCAGUCUGCUUCGAAAUCAAUGAGGAGGGAAACUGGGACAUAGUAUGCUUUCUGCAUUGAAAGUAUACUAUUAAAUAUGACCAGAGAAAUUUCCACAUAUCAUGAACUUGAUAUCGAUUAGGAAAGUUUUAUCGCAAGUAUAAACAUAAGCAUAGUAAGUCUUUCGUAAGUAGUUGUUUGGUUUGGAAUUUUUUGUUUAAAAUUUUUCGUAAUUAAUUUAGGGUACCAAUAUGUGUGGAAAUUGAUAGUGGAUUUCGACGUGAUGUAUAAUGGAUUUUUCUGUGUAAUAAAUAGAUGGGUAUGGAAGCACGUUACUCAUCACCAAUUUCCUUGUUCUUUUUGCUCUUUCUUUAUUUCAUAUUCAAGAAAGAUAAAUUAGCUUAAAGAAGGAAUGAGAGGCUUUUGGAACUUAACGAGUACCAUUUCUCUUACUCUUUCUAUACUUUACUUAUUCGUUUACAAUGAUGAGGACGUGUCUGCGGUUCCUACUAGACACUUGUGUCGUCCUGAUCAAAGGGAUGCACUUCUCCAGUUCAAGAACGAGUUUGAGGUUCAAAACUCUUCCAUUUCUUAUUAUAGAUGUAUUUAUAGUGGUAUUAAACCUCAUGAGAAGACCGAGUCAUGGAUGAAUAACAGCGACUGCUGUAACUUGUUGGGUUCCUCCUAGAUGGAGGUAACCCAUUGGGUUUGGUUUUGACAACUAAACUUGGUGUUGGACAAUGGUAUUAGCCCAUGAAGUUAGUAUUGGGUCUUGGGAGUUAAUGACCCAUAAUGUAAGUCUCCUAACCUAAUUUGGAGAGUGGUUGCAGACACAACACGAACAGACAAGAUCAGACUCACAAUAAUAAAGUUUAGAGAGAGAGAGAAAGAGAAGAGAGAAAAGGAGAGAAGAAAACAGUUUUCGUCUCAGUUUGUCAAGACAUAUUUGGAGGGUCAAACGGAACUUGAUCGGGCUGAUAUUUUGUGGGAAGCUUCUUCAGUCAGUGGGUUAAAGGUUCACCGAAGGGAUUUGGAUUUCAACGGUUGGAUCUUCUGUUGUCUGGGUUUUAGUGAAGCUGGUCGUCACAGCUCUUCAGCAAGGCUGUUUUGGCUGUUUGGUAAAUCCAACGGUAAAAUAUUCUCUGAUUGAGCUGAAAUUUGGCAGAUGUAUUGUUGACUUGUUUAUCUUGGAUUUGUACGGUGAGAUUAGUCUCUGGUUUCCGGAAUCCUUAUGAGCUGAGGUCGUUUGGAUGCUGCCGGUUUUGAAGCUUUGUGUUGCUCUCUUGUUGUUGUUGUUUGUGUUGGAGAUAACUCUUUGAAGCUAGUGUCUCUGUUCUGUUCUGAUUGUUGAACAGGGAGGACGUGGUUGUACUCACAAACAUUUAUAUAGUGGAUUGUUGAGUGGACUACGGUCCCGUGGUUUUUUCUUCUCACAUCGAGGAGGUUUUCCACGUAAAAAGUGAUUGUCUCAUUUACGUUUCUGCUUAUACUAUAUUCUGCCAUCGUCAAAGUAAUUUCUUCACAGGUUCACACAAGGUCAGGGGAACACGACUUUGAGUAUUUCCGCUGCGCCGUGAGACUUUCCCCAACAGAGUGGUAUCAGAGCUUCUGGUUUUAGAGCUUUGGUUUUGAUAACUUUGGGUUAUUAUUUGCUUGUGUGAAAGAUGGAAAAUAUGAGCAGGAUGAUAAGCUUGAAUGGUGCUAACUAUCAUCUAUGGAAGGGCAAGAUGGAGGAUUUGCUCUUUGUUAAAGAAUUCCAUGUUCCAGUCUUCGAGGAGCAGAAACCUGAGAAGAAGACGGAUGAAGAGUGGAAGCUGCAGCAUCGCCAAGUGUGUGGGUUGAUAAGGCAGUGGGUAGAUGAUAAUGUGUUGCAUCAUAUUGAGACUGAGACGGAUGCUCGUUCUUUGUGGAAGAAGCUGGAGCAGUUAUAUGCUAGAAAGACCGGAAACAACAAGAUGUACAUGAUCAAGAAGUUGAUUGAGCUGAGGUAUCAGGAGGGGACUCCGAUGACAGAUCACUUGAAUGCGUUUCAGGGAUUGCUCAACAAGCUGUCUGAUAUGGGCAUCAGGUUUGAUGAUGAGAUUCACGGUCUGUGGCUUCUCGGUACUUUACCGGACUCUUGGGAGGUUUUCAGGAUGUCUCUUUGUAACUCCGCGUCGGAAGGUGUUAUUUCGAUGGAUUCAGUGAAGAACAGUGUUCUUAAUGAGGAAGCAAGAAGGCAGUCGAAUGCUAGCAGUUCGCGUUCAGAUGUCUUUGUUACUGAGUCAAGGGGGAGAAGUACAAGUAGAGAUCCCAAGAGAGACAAGAACAGGAGCAGGAGCAAGUCUAAUAGAUUUGCUAAUAUGGAGUGCUACUUCUGUCAUAAGAAAGGGCACAUGAAGAAGGAUUGCUGGAAGUUGAAAAACAAGCAGCAAGGAAAUCAAGAAGAAAAGGUGGAUCGGGUGACUCUCACCGAAGAUCAGUUUCUCAUUCUUCUUGAGGGUGAUGCCAUUAAUGUCGCAUGCCAGGACACCAGUUGGGUGAUUGACAGUGGAGCUACUACUCAUGCUACAUCACAGCGGGAUUUGUUUUCUACCUAUACUACGGGUAAUUAUGGUUCUGUGAAGAUGGGGAAUGAUGCGAUGGCUCAGGUUGCUGGCAUUGGUGAUAUAUGCUUGGAGACUAGUCUUGGGACUAGGUUGGUGCUUAAGGAUGUUAAGCAUGUUCCUGAUAUUAGGAUGAAUCUGAUAUCGACGGGAAGACUUGAUGAUGAGGGCUAUUUCAGUUUGCACGGUGGUGGUAAAUGGAAGCUCUCUCGCGGUUCUUUGAUUGUGGCUCGAGGUGAGAAGUCUUCAUCUUUCUAUUGGAUGCAGGCUAAGGUCUCCAAAGAUGUUGUUAAUGCGGUGGAGAAUGAUAAUGCCAUGGAGUUAUGGCAUAAGAGACUCGGUCACAUGAGUGAGAAGGGAAUGGCUGUGUUGUCUAAGAAUGAGGUGAUCUCAGGAAUCUCUGGUUUGCACAGUGUUCGCAUUGCUUUGCGGGAAAACAACACAGGGUAUCUUUCAAGUCUUCCGCACCUUCUAGGAAACCCGAGGUACUGGAUUUGGUACACUCAGAUGUGUGUGGUCCAAUGAAGACAAGAUCUCUUGGUGGCGCAUCAUAUUUUGUGACUUUUAUUGAUGAUCAUUCAAGGAAGUCGUGGGUAUUUCCUAUGAGGACGAAGGAUCAGGUGCUGGGAUAUUUCAAGCACUUUGUGGCAUUGGUUGAGAGACAAACGGGGAAGAAGCUGAAGUGUAUCCGCAGUGAUAAUGGUGGAGAGUAUCUUGGACCAUUUGAUGCUUAUUGCAAAGAGCAUGGAAUAAGGCAUCAGUUCACGCCACCUCAUACUCCACAGUUGAAUGGGUUGGCUGAAAGGAUGAAUCGGACGAUUGUCGAGAGGAUGAGAUGUUUGAUCUCACAGUCAGGCUUAUCGAUGACUUUCUGGGCAGAAGCUUUGAACACGGUGGUUCAUGUGCUGAAUUUGUCACCAAGUGCUCCAUUGGAUGGUGAUGUUCCAGAGAGGGUUUGGACUGGUAAGGAUGUUUCUUACAGUCACUUGAGGGUCUUUGGGUGUAAGGCAUUUGUUCAUAUUCCCAAGGUUGAUAGAUCGAAGCUUGAGAUGAAGUCGCGGCAGUGUGUGUUCAUCGGUUAUGGUCAUGAUGAGUUCGGGUACAGAUUUUAUGAUCCCGUUGAGAGGAAGCUCGUAAGGAGCAGAGAUGUUGUGUUUAUGGAAGAUCAAACGAUUAAGGACAUUGACAAGUCCAAAAAGCCAACUCAGAUUUUUGAGGGUUUGAUCGAUACAGAGGCUACUCCUUCUACAUCGGUUCACGGUGAGGUUGAGGUUGAGGUUCAGGAUAAUGCACCCAGUGCAGAUGCUCCCGCACAUGAAGAUGGUAGUGGUGAUCAUGGUGACGAUCAUGGUGAGACACCAGCUGCUGAGAACCAACCUACUAUUGUUAGAAGAUCCGAGAGAGGUCUUAAACCGUCGACAAGGUAUGAUCCUAGUGAGUAUGUAUUACUUACUGAUGGGGGAGAGCCUGAAAGCUAUGAUGAAGCUUUGGAGGAUGAACACAAGGAUAAGUGGUUUGGAGCCAUGGAUGAGGAGAUGGAUUCUUUUGAGGAGAACCAUACUUUUGAGUUGGUGGAAUUGCCUAAGGGCAAGAAGGCUCUGCUUAAUAAGUGGGUGUACAGAAUUAAGCAUGAGGAUGAAAAUUUGCCACCUCGACACAAGGCUAGAUUGGUUGUGAAAGGCUACAGCCAAAAGAAGGGAAUUGAUUAUGAUGAAAUCUUUUCUCCUGUUGUGAAGAUGUCAUCCAUUCGGGUUGUACUUGGAUUGGCAGCGAGCCUUGAUCUAGAGGUUGAGCAAAUGGACGUGAAGACUGCUUUCCUUCAUGGUAAUUUGGAGGAAGAGAUCUACAUGGAACAACCGGAAGGCUAUGUGCAAAAGGGCAAAGAAAAUUUGGUUUGCCGCUUGAAGAAAAGCCUUUAUGGAUUGAAGCAAGCACCAAGGCAGUGGUACAUGAAGUUCAAGUCUGUUAUGGGGGAGCAUGGUUAUGCAGAGACUGAUUCAGACCAUUGUGUAUUUGUGAAGGUGUUCGGUGAGGAUGAUUUUAUCAUCUUGUUGCUGUAUGUCGAUGAUAUGUUGAUUGUGGGCAGGAACAUGGACAGAAUUAAGGAGCUGAAAGAGCAGCUAGGUAUGUCCUUUGCCAUGAAAGAUAUGGGUCCAGCGAAACAGAUUCUCGGUAUGAGAAUUAUUCGAGAUAGAGGUGAGAAGCUGAUUCACUUAUCUCAGGAGAAGUACAUUGAAAAAGUACUUAAGCGGUUUCACAUGGACAAGUCUAAAGUGUUGAGUACUCCUCUUGCUCCACACUUAAGACUGAGCAGUCAACAAAGUCCGAAGACAUAUGCGGAGAAGGAAGAUAUGGCGAAGGUUCCAUAUGCUUCUGCAGUGGGUAGUUUGAUGUAUGCCAUGGUCUGUACAAGACCAGAUUUAGCCUACGCCGUUGGAGUUGUCAGCAGGUUUCUCUCCAAUCCGGGAAGAGAACAUUGGAAUGCUGUGAAGUGGAUUUUGAGAUAUCUCAGAGGGACUUCUGAUCUGAAGAUUACAUUUGGGGGUAAGAAGCCUUUGCUGGUCAGUUUCACUGAUUCUGACAUGUCUGGAGAUGUUGAUUCUAUCAAGUCUACUUCGGGUUACUUGAUAACAUUUUCGGGUGGAGCUGUGGCAUGGCAGUCAAGGCUGCAAAAGUGUGUUGCACUAUCUACCACUGAGGCAGAGUUCAUUGCCGCAACUGAAGCUUGUAAAGAAUUGUUGUGGAUGAAGAACUUCUGUGAAGAGAUCGGUUUCAAGCAAGAGAAGUAUGUGUUGCUUUGUGAUAGUCAAAGCGCUAUUUGUCUCGGGAAGAAUUCUACAUUUCAUUCGAAGUCAAAACACAUUCAGAGGAGGUAUGAUGUGGUUGCUUCUAAGGAAGUGGAACUUGAGAAAGUUCAUACGGAUGAUAAUGGAGCUGAUAUGAUGACGAAGUCAUUACCGAGGGGGAAGCUUGAAGUAUGCCGAGGGAUAGCCGGAAUGGCUGUUUCCUCCACCUAGUCGGAGGGGGAGUUUGUUGGGUUCCUCCUAGAUGGAGGUAACCCAUUGGGUUUGGUUUUGACAACCAAACUUGGUGUUGGGCAAUGGUAUUAGCCCAUGAGGUUAGUAUUGGGUCUUGGGAGUUAAUGACCCAUAAUGUAAGUCUCCUAACCUAAUUUGGAGAGUGGUUACAGACACAACACGAGCAGACAAGAACAGACUCACAAUAAUAGAGUUUAGAGAGAGAGAAAGAGAAGAGAGAAAAAGAGAGAAGAAAACAGUUUUCGUCUCAGUUUGUCAAGACAUAUUUGGAGGAUCAAACGGAACUUGAUCGGACUGAUAUUUUGUGGGAAGCUUCUUCAGUCAAUGGGUUAAAGGUUCACAGAAGGGAUUUGAAUUUCAACGGUUGGAUCUUCUGUUGUCUGGGUUUUAGUGAAACUGGUCGUCACAGCUCUUCAGCAAGGCUGUCUUGGCUGUUUGGUAAAUCCAACGGUAAAAUCUUCUCUGAUUGAGCUGAAAUUUGGCAGAUGUAUUGUUGACUUGUUUAUCUUGGAUUUGUACGGUGAGAUUAGUCUCUGGUUUCCGGAAUCCUUGUGAGCUGAGGUCGUUUGGAUGCUGCCGGUUUUGAAGCUUUGUGUUACUCUCUUGUUGUUGUUGUUUGUGUUGGAGAUAGCUCUUUGAAGCUAGUGUCUCUGUUCUGUUCUGGUUGUUGAACAGGGAGAACGUGGUUGUACUCACAAACAUUUAUAUAGUGGAUUGUUGAGUGGACUACGGUCCCGUGGUUUUUCCUUCUCACAUCGAGGAGGUUUUCCACGUAAAAAGUAGUGAUUGUCUCAUUUACAUUUCUGCUUAUACUAUAUUCUGCCAUCGUCGAAGUAUUUUCUUCACAGGUUCACACAAGGUCAGGGGAACACGAUCUUGAGUAUUUCCGCUGCGCCUUGAGACUUUCCCCAACAUAACUGGGAUGGUAUCACCUGGAACGGCAAGUCUAGUGAAGUGAUCGGGCUAGACCUUAGUUGCAGCUACCUAGGUGGCCAGUUUCAUUCCAAUAGCAGUCUUCAAAACCUUCAUUCUCUAACCACUCUUGACCUUACAGGAAAUCGUUUUAGUGGACAGAUCAUGUCUUCAAUUGGAAACUUUUCUCAUCUCACCUCUCUCAACCUUUCACAAAAUAAUUUCAGCGGGUUCAUUCCUUCUUCGAUAGUAGACCUUUCUUAUCUCAUCUUUCUUGAUUUUUCUAUUAAUAGUUUUUCGGGUCAGAUUCCAUCUUCGAUUGGAAAUCUUUCUCAUCUCACCUAUCUUGACCUUUCUUCUACUCAAAUUUUGGGUCAGAUUCUAUCUUCUAUUGGAAAUCUUUAUAAGAUCACUUAUCUUGACCUUUCUAACAACAAUAUUGUUGGUGAAAUCCCAUCUUCUUUUGGCUAUCUAAACCAGCUGACCAGCUUAUAUGUUGGUCUCAAUAGGCUCAAUGGAAGCUUUCCCAUUGCACUACUGAAUCUGACAGAGUUGUCAUCUUUAUCACUUAGCUACAACCAGUUCACAGGCAUAAUUCCUCAUAACAUCACUUCACUCUCCAGCCUUCUUCCCUCUUCACCCUUCCUUCUAUGGAUGUUGUUACUUUCUCUGAUAACCAACUCAACGGAACUCUUGAGUUUGGGAUUAUAUCUUCACCACCUAAGCUACAAGUGUUAGCCGUUGGCAGUAAUAACUUGAGAGGGCCAAUCCCAGAAACAAUAUCCAAAUUUACCAACCUUGAAGAACUUGACCUUUCCCAUUACAAUACACAAGGUCCAAUUGACUUUAGUAUCUUCUCACAUCUCAAGUUGCUCGAUUAUCUUGACCUAUCCCAUGUGAACACGACCACUACCAUUGACUUGAAUGAUUUCUUGUCAAAUUUUAGGAGGCUCGAUGGGUUGUUUCUCUCAGGCAACCAUGUUUCUGCCACAAACAAGAUUCCAGUUUCAGGUCCCCCAUUACUGCGUUAUUUGCACUUGUCAGGCUGCGGUAUGACCGAGUUUCCGGAGUUUGUAAGAAACCAACAAUAAAAUCAAAGGUCAAGUGCCUGGCUGGUUAUGGACGCUACCAAAUCUUACUUACCUGAAUCUUUCCAACAACACUUUCACCAGCUUUAAAAACUCAACGAAACAUGGGCUAUCUAUGAUAAACUUGUUAGCCUCCAACAACAAUUUCACGGGAAAUAUUCCAUCUUUCAUAUGUGGUUGGCGCAGUCUUGCCACUCUUGAUUUAUCAAACAACUACUUCAGUGGUUUAAUCCCUCUUUGGCUGGGAACUCUCAAGGAGGAAUUCCGGAGACUAUAUUUGAAAGCUUAAGAACGCUUGACGUUGGUCAUAACCAUCUGACCGGAAAACUUCCAAGAUCUUUGAUCCAUUUCUCUAGUCUUGAAGUUCUGAACAUGGAAAGCAACAUUAUCAAUGAUAUGUAUCCAUUUUGGUUGAGUUCUCUACCAGAGUUAAAAAUUCUUGUGUUACGUUCCAAUGUUUUCCAUGGACCGAUACAUCAAACUUCAUUUCCUAAGUUGCAAAUCAUCGACAUAUCUCACAAUCACUUCAAUGGAGCUUUGCCAUCAGACUUCUUUGUUAAGUGGAGUGCUAUGUCAUCACUUGGGACAGUUUAUGAUCAGCAGAACAAAAUGUACAUGGGGGAUUCCUAUUACCAUGAUUUAGUAGUUUUGAUGAAUAAAGGUUUAGAGAUGAAGCUACAGCAUAUCCUAAAGAUCUACACAGCACUCGACUUUUCAGGGAACAAACUUGAAGGAGAGAUCCCAAGGUCCAUCGGUCUACUAAAAGAGCUUCAUGUGCUCAACUUGUCGAACAAUGCUUUCACCGGCGUCAUCCCUUCAUCUAUGGGAAACCUGACAGCUCUUGAGUCACUAGACGUUUCCCAAAACCAGUUUUCAGGAGAAAUUUGCAAGAGCUAGGGAGCCUCUCAUUCCUUUCCUACAUGAACUUCUCUCAUAACCAGCUUACAGGUCUAGUACCAGGCGGCACUCAGUUUCGAAGGCUGAAUUGUACUUCCUUUGAUGGUAACAUGGGACUUUUUGGCCCUUCUCUUGAUGAAAUUUGCAAAGACAUUCACACUCCAACACCACAUGAAACGUCGGAAUCAGAGGAAGAAGAAGAGGAAGAGGUGUUGAGUUGGAUAGCAGCUGUAAUAGGAGUCAUACCUGGUAUUGCCUUUGGAUGGGUGAUUGGAUACAUACUUGUUUCCUACAAACUAGAGUGGUUCAUGAACCCUUUUCUCCGAAACAAACGCAGACGCAGCAGCAACACAACUCAUUAAAGAGGUAAUAUAUUCGAGAGUUUUAAGUCAACUUGUUAGCAAACAUUUGAAGAAACAAAAAUAUUAUAGUCAAAUCUCCUGAAUAAACCUCCUUGUUUUCUUUGUAUAGGUCUUUUAUAACCUACCUGAGGAAUCUGAAAGAUGAAAUCGGAGGCAAUCACUAUGUUUAUCUGUAUCAAUGAGGAUUUGGAGUAUCAUCUCCGGUUUAGCUUGGUGUUUUCUCAUUACUCUGUUUUUACUUUUUAUUGUUAAGCUAGACGGGCUUCCAACCUAAAAGCAAUUGGUGAUAAGUGGAGUGGUCCAUCUAUCUUAUAUAUUACUUAGGAUCCCUUCCAACUACCGAUGUGGGACACUUUGUGUCUAAUACGCCCCCUCGAGAUGAUGGCUCUUUGAGCGUCAAUCUCGGAAUGCUCGGGAAAGGAUCGAUAGGCCAACUUGGGCCAGAUCGAUGGAUCGGAUUGGACUUCGUGGAUCGGGCUCUGAUACCAUGUUAAGCUAGAUGGGCUUCCAACCUAAAACCAAUUGUGAUAAGUGAAGUGGCCCAUCUAUCUUAUAUACUACUAAGAAUCUCUUCCAACAUCCGAUGUGGGACUUUGUCCCUAAUACGCCCACUCGAGAUCAUGGCUCUUUGAACAUCAAUCACAGAAUGCUUGAGCAAGGAUCGAUGGACCGACUUUGGACUGGAUCGAUAAUAGAUCGGGUUGGACUGCGUGGAUCGGGCUCUGAUACCAUGUUAAGCUAGAUGGACUUCCAACCUAAAACAAUUGGUAUUAGACACAAAGUGUCCCACAUCGGUAGUUGGAAAUGAUCCUAAGUAAUAUAUAAGAUAGAUGGACCACUCCACUUAUCACCAAUUGGUUUUAGGUUGGAAUCCCGUCUAGCUUAACAUGGUAUCAGAGCCCGAUCCACGAAUUCCAACCCGAUCCAAACAAUCCAAUUCGAUCCUUGUCAAAACAUUCCGAGAUUGACGCUCAAAGAGCCAUCAUCUCGAGGAGGCGUAUUAGGGACAGAAGUCCCACAUCGGGUAUUGGAAGUGAUCAUUAGUAAUAUAUAAGAUAGAUGGGGCACUCCACUUAUCACCAAUUGGUUUUAGGUUGGAAGCCCGUCUAGCUUAACAUGGUAUUAGAGCCCGAUCCACGAAGUCCAACCCAAUCCAUCGAUCUGGCCCAAAGUUGGCCUAUCGAUCCUUGCCCGAGCAUUCCGAGAUUGAGCCAUCAUCUCGAGGGGGCAUAUUAGACACAAAGUAUCCCACAUCGGUAGUUGGAAGGGAUCUAAGUAAUAUAUAAGAUAGAUGAGCCACUCUACUUAUCACUGUUGUAAAUAGAGGGUUUAGAGACUGAAUAUUUCUCUGUGUGUUAUUAUUGAUCAAUAGUGGUUCCUUAUAUAAGGAUUACAAAGAGUAGAUAAAAGGAAAGUAUCCAAAACCUAAUCCAACAGGAAAUAGGAAAACUAAAGAUAACAAGGAAAAAGGAAAACAUCAUAAUCCUAAGACGGUCUAAACCGACCGUCUCUCUCUCCUCGGACGACCGACUCUCUCUCCUCUUGGUCACGGCCACGGCUGGGCCUGGUCGUGGCUGAUGGGCUUUCUCCUCUUGUCUUGGUUAAUGGCAAUCCACUCCAUGAUUUAUAACACUCCCCCUUGGAUGCCAUAACCAUACAGGAUUUGUAGUACGCUUCAUGUUGCCUCAUUAAAACCUUAUCAGGAAAACCCAGUGGGACAAAACCAUGAUGAAGGAAAAAGAGUACAACACGAACUACUCCCCUUGAUGUGAACCUCAGUGUCGGUUCUACAUUCUACGCAUCUUGGUGCGUGAUAUUUCCUAUAUGUAUAGGAUGGGAGUAAUCGACCAGUUUCAUUACUGAACCGUAAUUAGACCACUUCGACUUCUUAGGUCGUUUCUCAUGUCCUUUGACAUCGAGUGUCCCGGUAAAGCUAUGUGCUAAGCAAUGUGAAUCACAUUGUCCUCGGAGAUCACUAUUGGGUCUUUGCAAAUUGUGUUUGCAUGUGUCCAUGGUCUAGACGUGUUUGUCUACUGUCAAACUCUUUUCUUUGACCAUUAUAAUCACCAUCGACCAUGUAUCAAUCUGGUCGAUCUAUGAUCGGGUCAUAGACCUCGUCUAUACGUGUCCACUACUUGUCUCAUGAGUGUUCAAGAUCAAUGAUCAUUACUGUGAGUUUAUAAUCUCUAAUUAUGGCUCUGUGGCCGAACACUCUCAUGGAUGUGGACAUCGAUUUCUUUGCCUUAGGUAAUGCCGUAUUCAUUAUUCUUUGCAUUCCUAUCUUAAUGAUGAUGAUGGCGUCUCAUGACCUUAGUUGCUGUGGAUCACAUCACACGCUAAGUAUACAUUAUUAGGUCAUGGACUUCGGCUUUCACGAGCUUAUGGACUACAAUACUUUAUAUCCGACAGGUAAGGAUAGAUUAAACAUCUCCUCUUACCCUUACGACAAAACUUUGUGGAGUUUAUACAGCAGCAGACCGUUCUGCUAUGCCGGAUCCUUAAGGGAUCUGAUUGUCGGAUUGCAACCUGAUGGUUGAUCUUUUCUACUAGCCCGUGAUCUAGAAGAAAGGACGGACACCUUAAGCUGAAGGGCCGGACGCAUUUUAUGGCCGAUGGGCUUAGAGCCGGAUGCCAUUUAGCAGAAGGGGCCGGAUGCCAUUUAGCAGAAGGGGCCGGACGCUUUUAGCUGAAAGCCGGAUGCCUUUUAACUUAAGGGUUGGACGUCUUUAGUCGAAGGACCGGACGCCUACAGAUACAUUAUGUAUCAGUCUACUAACCUCCUUUAGGUUUAGUACAAACACAAGGGAUUUCAAAUGUAUAUGGACUGUUAUUGGAUUGUCUUUUAUACAACUCCAAGAUCAUGCGUGAUCGCUUUCUUUUACAUACUAUAUGCAGCUGAUUUUCAGUCGAUGAAUCAGCUUAGGAACAAAGCUGUUCUUUCAAUUUUAUCCAGUGAUCCAUAUGCUGCUUACUACAUCGUUGUAUCUAAUUUCUUUCUUAUGACCAGACCAUUUUCAAUUUCGAAAAUCUGUAGCAGCAUCAACCACAUAGGAGUUUAUCUCCUUAUAAUAUGUUCCUUUGAUCUCUGUGAGUACAAGCUAUAAUCGAAUGCUGUGAAUAGGAAAACAUGAACACCUUUACAUCAUGUACAUCUCUCACGGUUUCUUUACUUCUCACAGGAUCCAUCUAUUUCACUGGUUUAUAGGAUGGCGUUUCUGUAUAUAUGUAUAUGGCCAAUACGCCCAUCACUUUCUUUAGAUACUUUGAACCUCCACGUUUUACCUUUUCUAAUCUCUAUGAUCUUUUAUGAUUGUAUGAGUACUCUUUCGUGGGUUCAUGAUCCUCGUUCAUCUCUUUAUGUUCAAGUGCUAUAACUUUAUGUAUCUUUAUACAAAUGUGUGUGUGUGUGUCGACACUUUCAUGUGGUUCCAUUAUGUUCCAGACAUGAUCUAUAGAUUUGAGAUCUUAUUAUCCAUGACCUUUGUUACCUAGUAGCUUGGCGUCCCAAUACUACAUGGUUUGGUACCUUAGAUGUGUAGCUGCACAGCCUUUUCUCAAUGUCUGUUUGGUUUCUAGUAUGAUCUCGGAUCUAUCAUUCCAUGCACCAUUCUUUUCUAUCCGAGAUCCCUUUAUCUUAUGGAACACUUGGCCUAUCUUGUAUAGACUCUAUAGCAACUUGAUUAUGUCUCUUCUAGGACAUUCAUUUGGUGCUAAGCUGGUUAGUCAUUUCUCGGGUCAGUGUCUGGCAUUUCGAUUAGCAUCUUAAUUAGCUAUCUUUAUAAUCUUUCUUUGGACGUCUUAAAUCAUAAUCUCUAGUCCGAGGAUCUUUGCCAAGACAAUGAUGGUUAAAAUCAUUCUUAUCAUUCUUUUAUCCAGCUUAUAAUCUUUCUCCUUUAAUGUUUGGAUAGAUGGAUGCAAUCCGUGUACUUGGCCACAAUCCGAUCACCCAUGUUUGGCUCAAGUUUUCUUUAUAAAUCGUGGGAGAAAGUAAUACUCCUAUCCAACAUAUAUUCCCAAUCCUCUUCUGAGGUUCCAUCUUAGACGGCACAUAUAUGUAUGUGGUGGUUUAUUCAAAAUCUCUUAAGAUGGUAUAUGUCUGGUUUUAUGACCCGUAUUCAAUCUGAGAUGGGAAUAUCUAUGCUCACUUAUAUGGCCUGAUGCAUUUUGUCAUUUAUAUACAUGUAAAUUCAUAAUGUCUCCAAGCUUAUAGACUUUAUAGUCUUAUCCUUAUAGGUAAUGGCUUACAUGGCCGAUAUCUUAUAGGUAAUAGCUUACUUGGCCGAAUCCUUAUAGGUAAUGGAACGUGUGCGGCCAAGCCUGCACUAUGCGGCCAAGUCACGACCAAGUCACGGCCGAGCCGUUUAUUCUCAUGGCCUCUUUGGUUUGGCCGUUUGUAUCAUGGCCUCUACGGCCGAGGAAUGGUCAUUUAUGGCCGAGUAAUGGCCGAGCCAUACACGAACUUGUAGUAUUGAUCAUGGGUUUAUCCUCUCUCCCCCUCAUGACCAUACUAUAAGUUUGUGGUGCUUGGGACAAUUAAGCCUAAUGAGUUUCCCUUUGUGUACAUGUUUCACAACAUGAGAUCUUUUACGGGAUAACUCUGUGCCUUUUCAAUCUUUGCAUCAAGUUUAGACUUUAGGAUGGCUAAUCCUAUCAUGCCAUAUAGUGUAAAAUUUCGUGGUGUUAUCUCAAUAUGGUUACCACAUCUCUUGCCUCUUUAUCAUACUGAUCUGUAGCAUAGUUUUGAUCAGUAGAGAUCAUAGGUAUAGUCUCGACCACUUUCUUUCAAGGUCUUAGGCGUUUUUCUUCUUAAAAUCUAAAGGAACUUGUUUCCUUCCUUACCCAUUGUUUCUACUUGGAAACCAUACAUUAUAACUUCAAUGGGUCACAUGUUCUUUUGGGUGUGUAUAAUGCCUUUUAAGGCAAUGCCUUAGCCAUAGUUUCUUUACUAUGCUUACUAUACCCAUUCAUGAUUUCUUACUUGGUUUUAUGCCCUUUAGGCAACUCUUUAAAAUCAUUUAUAUGUUCAAGUAAGAUCAGGCAAGACAAUGAAUUCAAAACCAAUUCCAUUGUAUAUAUAAAAUCGUGAACCAUCAAGUAGGUUAAAAGCAAAUCACAAAACAAGGACUUUAAAAUAAAAUGUCGAGAUCCCUCUUAGUUAAAUAGAUAAGCCGGCCUGUCCAUCUAUUGCAUUGGACACGGCUGCCUUGGAUUCAUCUUGAUCCAUUUCCUCAGGAUAUUUCAUCUCACUGCUUUUCUUUAGUACCUUGUCAUUCUCAAUCACCGUUAGGCAAGAGAUCAGGUCAUUGUAAGUGGUAGAACCUCUUUCUAUGUAGAUAUGUUUUGACAACAAAUCUUCUGGAUGGAAUGUGGAGUAUGUCUUGAAUAGACAAUCAUUAUCUGUUACCUCUUCUCCACAUAAUCUCAGUUGGUACACGACCCUGGACAAGGCAAAGUGAAACUCGGCCACUGUCUCAAAGUCUUGGAAUCUGAGACUCAUCCAUUCAUGUUUGACCUUUGGUAAUAAUACCAUAGUGUAUCUGGACUUUAAUUCUGUCCAAAGGUCACGAGGAUUCUCAAUAUGUAGAUACUGAUUUCUCAGUUCCUCAGUGAGAUGAUGGCGCAUUAUUGUAAUGGCUCUUAACUUUUCACUUUUAGUUGCAUAAUCACCCUGAAUGAUACUCCUUCCGAGUCCUCUUGAUUUCAGGGUAACUGAAGUGUUCAUUGCCCAUUCUAGAUAAUUAUCUCCAGAGAGAUUUAGAAUGGCAUAAUCCAUGGGUUCAAAUCUCGGCAUCUGAAAUCAUAUUAUCAAUCAAUUCAUUGAUUUAGAAUUCUUGCAACCAAUUUAAAUAAUCAGUGCAUAUGAUUUCAUAAGUCUAUCUAUGAUACUUAGGCCAUACGGCUUUUUCAUUUGUGAUGCUUAUACCUCACGGCCAUACAACGAUCUUAAGGAUCGGAUCAUGAUGCAAUCCGGUUUAUAAAAUCAUCCGGAUACUAGGCCACACGGUCACUUUGGUAUGCACUAAGCCACACGGCUUUUAAUCAAUCAAGGGCACAAAGCCGCAAGUGUGGGCAAUGUAUUAGGCCACAUGGCCAUAUACAAAAGGAGAUUAUUAAUCUAAGUGUAUUCAAUCCUAUUGCUUAGUUGCAUAUCUAUUAAGAUUUACCAAUUUCAAGGUUGGUAAUAUUAGAUUUUAGAAUCAAGCACUCUAGCAACCUAACUCUCAUUCAAUAUGUAAAUUCUUUAAAUCAAUCUUUCAAGCUUUAAGUAAUGAGAGAUUUAAGGUUUCAAGGCCUUUAGGAAUUUCAAACGAGAUUAAGGGUUUCAAGGCCUUAAGGAUUUCGAAUUUUGAGAUUAGAUCUAUCAAUACUAAAAUCUCAGAUCAAUCAAUCAAACAAUCAAACAAUUUAGAAACCUCAAUGAUCAAUAGAUCAGAUGAAGUCAAAACCGAUUUAAGCUUUUAGGGUUUCUAGGGUAUUUCGAAAACUUUGAUCUUUGAUCAAGGGGAUUUGAUUUGAGAUUCAAAAACCUUUAAGGUUCUGAUUUUAAUUGAUCAAUGGAUCAAUCUCGAAUUAUGGUUUAGGGGAUCGGACUUAUUCGAGCUCCGAUUUACUCUUUUAGGGUUUUAUCUAUUUAUCCUAAUGCUUUCAUCUUAGAGAUUAGUUUUAGAGUUUCAAUCUUUACAAACAAUCAGGUUCGAUUCAUGUUCUCAAAUUAAGUCUGUACCUUUGUUUUGCAGGUCUGAACCGGACCACCAAAGAUCAGAGACGAGCUGAGACGAACGGACGCGGAACGGCUCCUAUUGGGUCGCGUUGCCGAGAGCUAUCGCGAGCUUGUUUCUUCUCGCGGACGGUUUCGUCUGGUCGGGGAUUUGGUCUGAGCUGGACGCAAGCUGAGCUGAGGCUGAGGACGUUGAUCACGGACAGGGAACGUCUGAAGCUGAGCUUGAUCAGAGUUGAGCUUGAUCGGAGUUUGCAAGCCAGAACGCAAGCAAGAACAAUUUAGGGUUCUUCGGGAUUAUAUCUUUGCACGAACUCCUCUUAGCUCAUGAAAUAAAAACAAGGAGUAUUAGAUUACAUGAACACCAUAAUCUGAACAAGAUAUCAUCAAACAACUAAGGUAUGAUAAACUUAUCUUUCACAGGUUUUGAAUUUGGCUGGAAAAUCAUGUUGGUUCGGAUUAGGGUUCCAAAGACCAAGACGCCGCCAUGUAUUGUAUCUGAGAUCGUGGGCGCGUCUGAGAUUAUAUCGACGAACGGUUUGCGCUGAUGGAUUCGUUUCGUAAAGAGCUUCAAUUUGAUAUGUGGCUCGUCGUCUGGUUCCUCGGGGUUUGAGAGAUAGAUCGAUUUUAAGUUGCGUCAAAAUUAGGGUUUAUGUGUGACGGAUUUUAGGUUAGGUUUUGUCUCAGGGUUUUGGAGUCUAUCGUGCUGAUAACGUGUUGUAAAUAGAGGGUUUAGAGACUGAAUAUUUCUCUGUGUGUUAUUAUUGAUGAAUAGAGGUUCUUUAUAUAAGGAUUACAAAGAGUAGAUAAAAAGAAAAUAUCCAAAACCUAAUCCAACAGGAAAUAGGAAAACUAAAGAUAACAAAGAAAAAGGAAAACGUCCUAAUCCUAAGACGGUCUAAACCGACCGUCUCUCUCUCCUCGGACGACCGACUCUCUCUCCUCUUGGUCACGGCCAUGGCUGGGCUUGGUCGUGGCUGAUGGGUUUUCUCCUCUUGUUUUGGUUAAUGGCAAUCCACUCCAUGAUUUAUAACAAUCGCUAAUUAUUUUUAGGUUGGAAGCCCUUGCAAACUUCUUUGUUUCUCUGGCAUUGUUUCCGGUUUAAGUUGGUGUGUAUUUUCUCUACUUCUCUGUUUCUCUGUAAUUGAACAACUAUGUUUAUUACGCUGAAAAUUACAAGCACAGUCAAAGAUGUGUGUCUUUUCCGCUCUUCUGUAUCUAAACAUCAACUGUAUGGACGUGAGAUGAGCAAUAAACAGAUGAUCCAGAUCAACGCUAUAAGCAACACAGGACUUUCAUCACGGAAUUGGAUGAAGGAAAAGCUACCUGCGAUGAGAUGCUUGUCCCGGAGCCAGCAAGGCGUCUGGAGCUUCAACCAAGAUCAUACCGUCCCUGUUCAAGAUAUCCUAGUGAAAGUGAAUGAAUCCAUCGAAACCUUGUUGAAUCUGGUUAGGUGUGUCUUUGGUUUAAGGGCUGAAACACCAACGGUGAUCACCGUCAAGCUGCCUCCAUGGAUGCAUGGCCCAGAAGGAGCCACAAUCGCCCCACUGAACAUUGUAUCAAACACCGAUGUGGAGAUAAUGAUGGGUGCGCAUGAGUGGAACACAGAACCAAAACUCUCGGUCAUUAUUGGAGCGGAGGAGGUUGCGUGGUACCAGUUCGUAUGUCGAACAACGUUCACCAUAGGGGACAGAACGUUCUUGACAGAUGGAGUCUCCGAAGAGCAACACCUAGCAACCAUCAACGGUAAGCAAAAUCAAAAUUAAUAAAAAAGAUCUAUAGUUGAACCAGAAGAAGAAAAAUAGAUAAUUAAUUCUUUCCUUCCAAUUUUGUGGCAGAGAUAAUUGGAGAUGAGGAGAUAAAGUGUCCUAGGCGAUUUCUAGAGGAGCUUUUUAACCAGGACAAAAUGGCUGUUAUUUUUCGUUUUGCGAUGGAGGUUGAGAAAGCAAGAAAUAGUCUUGAUUUGAAUUUAAGCGUAUUUGAUGGAAACGGUGAUCAUAUAGUCCCAGACAUAGGAAAUCUUAACGAGGUCGGUCCAGAGUGGGGAGCAGGAGAGCAAUAUGGUGGUAUUGAUGGAUUUGGGGAUAUGGACGAUUCAGGUAAUGGACCAUAGUAUUCUUUAAUACACAAGCAUUGUUUCCUUUCGGUUACCGGAACUAAGACGUGUUAGAUUUCAUUUUAGAUGUGCCAGCAUAUCAAAAUGUCCCGGGGGGCCAUCUUCACGCGUUGAUAUCGGGCCGGUGUAUUGGCAAGACUUGAUGUCCAGCAGUUAUGCACUGCAGCUUGAUCGAAUUUAUGGGGUGGAAGGCUCGGAGUACGUGGGAUACCAACCUAGUGAUAUCGCUAUUGGGGGACCUGAGGCUAAGCAAAGGACACAAGCUUUACCGGUUUUUCAUGGGUCUCCGGUUCUAUCAUCAUCUGCUGUUACAAAUCUCCCAUCGGUGGGGUCUGAAGGGAACGUCAGUGGUGCGACAGUGGUUCAUAGAGGUACGUUGGUCAUUGUAAAUAGUAUUUUGCUAUACAUCACAUAUAGACGUCCUAAUGUGCAUAAUGUUAAUAAGGUGUAAUGGUUCUUUCACGGUUGCUGUUUCAUAGGAGGAGCAUUGACAAUCGUUCUUCAGGACAUUACGGGGGAUGAGGAGAAUAACGCUAAAGGAGGCGAGGAAGGCAAUAACGACGGCCCGGGUGGUGACCAGUAAACAUGAAUCCAAAUGCGUGUGGUAGUAAAGGGGUUGCAGUUUUUUGUUAUGUUUAAUAUCUACGGUCUUGAUGUUUCUGCAUGUUGUUUCUACAAGCUGGAAAAGGCGUAUUUCAUAAGGUUGUCCUGUAAAAUACCUGUGGCCUUGGGGUUUGUUUUUGGUUUGUUGGUCCCGGUUAAGUGUGUUCCUCUAUAUGUAGUGAAUCCUAUCGAGUAAUUUAAAAUACUUGGGUAUGUUUCGUGUAAUGUAAAAUAUUUGGGUAUCUAUCGACUAUUGCAAAAUAUUUCGUUCUCGCCAAUCUAUAAGUAGGAUCUUGUGUAAUAAAAACCCGGGUUUAGUACUUAAUAACCAUAAAUUUAUCCUAAAAUCCGGCAAUGUUAAUUGAACUACUCAACGAUAAAGAUGAAACAGUUUGACAUAAGUGGUGUGGUCAAUGGUACUUAGACGAAAUAUAUUUUGGAUAUGUUUGAUGUACAACUAUCACUAUGUAUUAAGUCAAAUAUGUAUUCGGUUAUUAACACACCUACUAUGUCGUGAAACUUUUAGUUCGAACCUGAUAAAUGAUGACAUGAGAGUUAGUAGAACGAAACAAAUGGUCUCAAUAAAACAUGUACGAAACAAAGGAGAUUGGAACAGAGUUUGGGCGAUAAAAAUGAAACAAGUCUAGCGUAGGACAACGGAGUUUUAACCCUAAACCCUAAAGAAUCUGGUGAAACUCAUUGAGCAUGACAGCGGCCCUCUGGGAUUCUUCGGUAAGAACUAGCGGGGUGACACACCUGAAUGUGUCUGGACCAAACAAGGCAUGAGUUUGCAUGAGCAAUGCUGCUGUAAACCCUGAAUCACCAGGGGGCAGCGUUAACUGGAACGCCUUUUAUUCUUUCAACCGACAGAUUUUGACCAUCAACUCUGUCAAUGCGACCACAAUACUUGAGGAGAAGGAGGAACAUCUCGGCAACAGGGUACAGAUCUCUUGACAACAGAGCAUCAGUGCGGACAACGGGGUUGCAAUCUAAAACGUAUAUCUUACAUGAUGGGCAGUCAACACAAAUGCCAAUCCAAUGCUUGUUCGCGAUGAGGAAUGGGAAAUAGAAACUGGUGGUGUUGCUAUCUUCAGAUCCAGUUUUCUUCAAACAAUCUGCCAGCCCCUUACUGAACGCAUAAUCUUUUUUGAUUUUCGCUUUCUUAAACUUGGGAUAGUUCCUAGUAAACAUUGUCACAAAUCGGGUAUCAAAGAACUCAGCGGUCUUGUCGCUCUUGGCCUGUACGUGUUUAUUGAAGGUUGAUCUGACUAGAUGCAUAAGUAUAUCCAUCACCUAACAUACUAAAAAUAUUAGGUUUCCCUUCCGAGAAGCAAGCAUUUUGGAAGCAUAUUUGAUUUUUAUUAACAGUACCUUAGCGGGUAGGAGCCUGUUCUUAUCAGCAAUGCCUGAUGUCCUUCGUGUUGAUAGAAAAACCGUCGACGUUUAUUAAACAGUCACCAAUAAAUAAUCAGCAGGGGAGUCAGUGUACUAAUGCACAACAAAAACAGAAAAAUUAGGUUACGUGUUAAAAUAACCGGGAGUUAGACAACCCACCGAGGCGGGGUGAAGAUGUGUAGAUAAACCAGUUUGGGGAAAUGUUAAUGCAGUUUACGUAAAUGAACUCCGGCCUCUUAUAUUAAUAACCGGUUACACAAAAAGUGUAUAGGGAGUUACCAUGGUCUAGUUAUGAGUGUUGUGAGCUUCGUGUACUUCUCACGGAGGACCGCAUUCACAUAGCGGUUGUCUGCACACAUCUGGGCUUCCCAAGCUCUGUUUAGGAUUGCAUAACUACAAUGGUAGUCAUUGACCAGUGCUGGUGGAACUGUCCUUAAGCGUUUGCUUUUGCGGCAAAGAGGACCGCCCUCUCCAUUUUCAUCGUUGUCUACAUCAGCAUUUACUAAAACAUCGGCAACAGCAUCAGUUGGUCUUCCCAGCUCAUCAUGAGUUAAUCCGAGCGAGAAAGAAUGAGCCUGCAUAAGUAUAAUUAAAGGGCUGUGAUUAACAAUAAAGCGAUAUGACCAAAAAUUCCUAUUUCAAAGCAAUGAUUUACCAGUGGGUCGUUCUCAUGCUUGGUAAUGCUGGUAGCAGACAAGGAUGUCUGUUGCUGAGUCUCACCUUCCUGAUGACCACUAGAGUGGGUGAGAGAUUUGUGCUUGUUAGAUCUCGCGUCGGAAAGCUGUUAUGAAAAAUUUUAAUAAAUAGAAACUCAGCAUAAGAUGAAACCAGAUCUGCAGACUAUAAUUUGGCUACAACACAGAGAAACCGGAUCUAUGUACUAUAUAUAUAUGCUACAACCCAAUAAAACAUGUAGUAUAAAUAGGUGAGAACUAAAACAAGAAACUAGAGGCUUACCGGGCAGCGUUGGGCAGACCGAGGAGGUGUGGAAUACUGACUAAGGCUCGCUCUCCAUCACACUAUUAAUAAUCUGGUCAUUGGCGUCUUCACCUGAUGGCUUUGCAUGUCGGGAGGUACCUGACCUGCUUCUAUUGUCAGCCGAUGGUGUAUGUUCUUGUGGCCGUUGCGAAGGGGUAAUAUUCCGUGUUUUUAACGGUUUUAAACUCGUUUUGGAGCAAUUAAAUGGUCGGUUUUAAUUAAUGUUUUGGUCUAUUUGAUGCGUUUUGGUGUUCUUAAGUGUAAUAUGCAGGUUACUAGAUAGCUUGAAAGAAAAGAACGCAUUCGGGAUUUAUUCAGAAGCAAGAUGGACCGAACAAUGGACCGAAUGAGAAGUAUUGAUCGCACAGNNNNNNNNNNNNNNNNNNNNNNNNNNNNNNNNNNNNNNNNNNNNNNNNNNNNNNNNNNNNNNNNNNNNNNNNNNNNNNNNGAAGAAGUUCAUGAGAGAUGUGAACCACUAUUACUGGGAUGAUCCCUUCCUCUACAAGAGAUGCUCAGAUGGUUUAUUCAGGAGAUGUGUUCUGGAGAAUGAGAUGCAAGGGAUUCUUUUCCACUGCCACAGUUCAGAAUACGCAGGCCAUUUUGCAACAUUCAAGACGGUUUCUAAGGUCCUGCAGGCUGGUUACUGGUGGCCUACACUUUUCAGAGACGCCCAUGAGUUUGUCUCAAAGUGUGAUGCAUGUCAGCGGAAGGGUAACAUCAGUAAGAGAAAUGAGAUGCCCCAAAAUUUCAUCCUUGAAGUUGAAGUUUUUGAUGUAUGGGGAAUUGAUUUUAUGGGCCCUUUCCCAUCUUCUUAUGGAAAUGAGUACAUCUUGGUUACGGUUGAUUAUGUCUCCAAGUGGGUGGAAGCAGUAGCCAGCAAGACAAAUGACUCUAGUGUUGUCAAGAAAAUGUUCAAGACAGUCAUUUUUCCAAGAUUCGGGAUCCCGAGAGUGGUUAUAAGUGAUGGAGGCUCUCACUUCAUCAACAAGACGUUCAAUAAACUGCUGAAGAGAGUAAAGCAUAAGGUAGCUACACUUUAUCAUCCUCAGACAAGUGGGCAGGUUGAAAUAUCGAACCGAGAAAUCAAGGGGAUUUUGGAGAAGGCUGUAGGCAAAACAAGGAAAGACUGGGCUGUGAAGCUUGAUGACGCCUUAUGGGCGUAUAGAACCGCCUACAAGACUCCCUUGGGCACCACUCCUUUUAAUCUGGUCUAUGGAAAGUCUUGUCACCUACCUGUGGAAUUGGAGUACAGUGGUUUUUGGGCAACGAAGUUGAUGAACUUCGACAUUAAAACCGCAGCAGAAAGGAGGAUGGUUCAGUUGAACGAGCUGGACGAGAUUCGGUUGAACGCCUAUGAGAACACCAAAAUCUACAAGGAAAGAACUAAGGCAUGGCAUGACAGAAAGAUAAUCCCGAGAGACUUCGCUGCUGGAGACAAAGUCCUUCUGUUCAACUCUAGACUCAAGCUAUUUCCUGGAAAGCUUAAGUCUCGUUGGUCCGGACAUUUCACCAUCACAGAGGUUAGACCUUAUGGAGCUGUCGUCUGGGAAGACAAUGGGAGGAAAUUCACCGUCAAUGGGCAGAGGCUAAAACCUUACUUCACAGAUGCAAAACCCGAAGAAGGAACCAACAUUCCUUUAUCGGAACCCGAUCUCGCCUAAGGACAACAAAAUAGUCAGGCUCGCGACUUUAAACAAGCGCUGACUGGGAGGCAACCCACAUGGUUUGAUUUUCUUUNNNNNNNNNNNNNNNNNNNNNNNNNNNNNNNNNNNNNNNNNNNNNNNNNNNNNNNNNNNNNNNNNNNNNNNNNNNNNNNNNNNNNNNNNNNNNNNNNNNNNNNNNNNNNNNNNNNNNNNNNNNNNNNNNNNNNNNNNNNNNNNNNNNNNNNNNNNNNNNNNNNNNNNNNNNNNNNNNNNNNAAAAAAACUCUCUACGUAUUUUUCUCAGACCCUGUGAUGAUUAUUAGACUAUUUCCUUGUGUGUUGUGUAUUACAUUAUAUAUUGACCAUUUUUCAGGACUGUUGGCGCAGACAAACCGAGGAACUACUUGACCAAGCAACCUCUCCUUAAAUCUUUUAUCAAGUCUCGGUGAAUUGUAAUCGACUCAAAUAUUUUUGACCAUUAAUGAAUUUAAUUUCUUUUGACCAGGAAUCAACAUCAGGAAACGGUACACCAUAUACACAUUCAGGAUUUUCUUUACCACAUUUUACCACUCUUUAAUAAUCCUGAAUGGCCAGACUCAUCAAUAGUUUGGUACCUCACCUACACCUUACCCUUUUAUUUCAUCUCCAUGCAUUCUUACACACUGAUCAUAUGUGCAUACAUGUGCAAAAACAAUGGAGAGAUUAGGGUAGACAUGGUUCAUCCGACUGCUUAGGUAGGAUCGGAACAUUUAGGUGGUUAGACACGGACCUGUGUGUCUAGAGGUGUAAAUAGAAAAAUUGGGUGUUGUAAGUGUGUGAUUGCAUCGCAGUGUAUAUAUUCGAUUUCGGUUUGUAUAAGUUUUCGUUCUGAAAUAUAAAAAAAAAAAAAAAAAAAAGUUCAUGUUUAUAUCUCAUUCAGUAGAUUUGAUUUAGACAUUUUAUUUUUAUUUUGUGUACCAGAGAUGAUGCGUUGUUUAAAUUUGGGGUUAGAGUUUGAGAUUUGUUGGGUUUUGAUCAUUUGAGACUUGAGCAGUUCGGAGCUUUUCACUCCUUUUUACCCACUCCCCUCAAUAAUAGACAGAGGAACUCGACUUUUGAGACUCAGAAAAGACCAGGGGCGACCAAGGAGGAGAUUUACAAGUUCUAGAGAGAGAUUUGAGUGUUUUGUACUUGUUUUGGUGUGAUUUGUGAAGAUUUGUAAAGGAGUUCAUCUCAAAACCAUUUGGAGAAGAUCUUCUGAACCUUUACUCUGUUUUAAUACAAUCUUAUCAUGUUUUCUUCAUCAAAAUCGUUUUGUUCUUGCUUAGUUAUGUGUGAGUAGUCAUCUAGUUGGGUUUAGGGGUUCUCAUAGGGGAUUUCUUGAUGUUUUGAUCCAUAAAACGUGUGUAGACUAAGGGAUUACGUUUUGGUUCUUCAUCUAAUGGAUUUCUUACUGCUUGAACUGAAUUGAUCACUUAGUUCAUGAUUUCAGAUUGUUUGAUGCACCGAAAGUGAUUGUUUGAACUUCCGAAAAUACUUUAGAUGAGCAAAGUGUCCUUAACCCUCGGAAGUUGAUGUUAUUGCGCUUUGUGAACAUAUUGAACCUGUUCUUAAUGCUUGUUUAGAAAUUGAAACUCAGCGGAAGUUAGUGUGGAGAUUUCUAUAACAUAGAGAAUUAGCGCUACGGAAGUAGGUUAAUUCUAAUAUCGUGUUUGAGUUCUAGACGGUUCUUAAUAUAUCCCUGUGUCUUCCAUUAAUUGUAUCUUGAUUAAAAAGAAAUCCCUGAGAAUUCCCAAUGCCCAACGUUUGUUUUAAAAUAGUUUUCAAAUCGUUUAAAUCAUCUUUUUACAUGCUUGUUUAUGUUUUGUGACACCUAAGAAAAUUAAAUAAGAACCAUCAAAAAUAUAUCUUGAUUCGCUGUAGCUAUUAACUUGUCUGCAACUCUACGUGUGAUCAUCGGUCCCUGUGGAUUCGAUCCCGCAUUACUACUGCGUACUUUAUUGUGCACUUGCAGUUAGAUAAUCGGGUUAAAACUCGACACAUCAAGGGGGACAGUGUCCUUCGUGUUCUCCAAAAACUCGGGUCUGGGAUGUCUGAAGGUUGUCGUUGUUCUGUUCAGCAACCUCUAGAGGUGACUUGACAAUGGACGCCAUAAUUUCCUGUUUGAAAGCUACAAGCAUUGCAUCGAGUGGUCCAAGCACAGUAGCUUGUUGUUGGGCCUCUGCGCUCCGGAUUAUUGAUGCAAUUGAGGCAUCUAUUUUUGAAAUCUCGGGUUUCAUGACAGCAAGAACAAUUGGCUUGAUAGUAGAUUCAUCUAUGACUCCAGCGGUGGUUUCCUUCGAAGUGGUUUGCUUCGAUGUGGGUUGCUUGCGUUUGGCCGCAACUUUCGCUGACUCCCUCAUUCUCUCAACUUCCUGUUUUGUUAGGCCCCCUUUAAACAUGUACUUUGAAAAACAAUGAUUCGCAUGAAUCAGCUUGUCGACUUUAGUAUCUUCGACAUGGUCUUUUACAACAAGAAUGGAUUCAUCAACCGGGUGAAGAGGGUCUUGGGGGAAUGAUACUCAUAUGGGCUAGCCAAUAAAACCGUGAACUUUUGUUGACUUUUUUAGUUUAUUAAGAAACUUACGAUUGACUGACCAUAUUAACACACCGUUAACCGAGUUAACAGAUAAAUAAGCGGAUGUUAAUUUUGGGUGUUAAAGCAUACGACGUCGUUUCAUAUCUUUGUCUGAUUAAAGACAAACGACGUCGUUUAUAUAGGUUUGUUAUUAAAAAUAUGUGUUUCCAACGGGUCGAACUCGUGUACUCGGGUUUAAUGGUAGGGGUUUUUGCCACUGAGCUAGUGGACUUUGCAAUAGAUUUACGAACACAGUUUCUUUUAUUCUCUUCGAAGCCGAGUUAAAAGACAAAUGAAUGAAACGACGCGUUUUAUAUAGCUUUUUUAUUAAAAAGAUGGGCUUCCAUCGGCUCGAACUCGUGCACUCGGGUUUAAUGGUAGGGGUUUUUGCCACUGAGCUAGUGGACUUUGCAAUAGAUUUACGAACACAGUUUCUUUUAUUCUCUUUGAAUCCGAGUUAAAUGAAUCAAAAAUCAUAAAUCCAGCUCGAUUCUCUUCGAUCUCGUCCUUAAGAAUCUCGAUUCUCACCUUUCCUUCUUCGAGUAUCGCAUGAUGAGUUCGGAUCCUUCAACGCUUUUACGGAUCCUCGAUCUCUCCGGCGAUGACAAACUCACAGAAGCAUCGCGUUCUCCACCCUUCUUCGACUCUUGAAUAGCUUCGUCACUCCCGUAAUCGAAAUUCCUCAUCGCUCCGAAAAUCAUUACCUCCCUUCCAUUCCUUGUGAACUUCGUCUUUACCAUCUCCUCACAUCACAAGAUAAAUCCCCAAAUUGAUUUGAGAAAUUAGGGUUACGUUCAAACACGGGUUUCGUUUUCUUUGAUUUCAAUCAAACACAUCUUUUGAUCAAUAAAAAUAAACAUGUGUGGUAAUCUUCCGAAAAGUCCACUAGCUCAGUGGCAAAACCCCCUAAGGACCACGACUGCACGGGUUCGACUCCAGCCAACAACAAUUUUAAUUAAGCAAAACGACGUCGUCUUGACAUUUUGUCUUUAACAAAACAAUUGGAUGAAACGACGUCGUUUCACUAAACGACAGUAAUUAACAGUGAGUUAACACUGUCUUAACUGUCGGUUAACGGUGUGUUAAUCUGGUAAGUCAACCGUAAGUUUGUGAAUUAACAAAAAAUGUCAACAAAAGAUCUGAAUUUUAUUGGUCAGGCUCGAGUACAUGUUUCUUUUGGCAAUUUCUGCAAAGUUCAGUGUUUUUUGGCCGAUUUCUCAAAGUAAAAUCCCUUUAGUUUCUCACACUACACGCAUGAUCUCCCAAACCAUUAUUUUUUUCUCGACACGAAUUAACUCUCGAUCAGAAACUGUAAAAUUUUAAAUUAUUUGCAACAACUCCAUUAAAUUGUUUUUUUUUUUGAAUGAAAGUAAAAUUAUAAUCAAACAAAAACUGUGUUACAUCUUGUGCUUCUGUUUUACUUAUGAACUCAUAAGGCAAUAAAAAUAAAAGAUUCUAACCACCUAUUACGAUGGUGUUAGAUCUUCUCUCGUGCCAAACCAAGUACGCAGACUUCUCUCCAAAUAGGCUUGGCCUCUUGCUUUGACUGCAAGCAGAUGCAAUCUGAUCGUUUUAUCAACGAGUUUGCUCAGAGUAAUGGCAUCCUUUGGUUCUUCACCAUGUCUCCUCGAGUUUCUUUCCCUCCAGAUACUGUGAACUGCUGCCUGCAGGGAGUAUCUGAUAAGGAACAAUUCUGUGGCAGGAAAGGUCGAGCCAGAUAUUAUAGUGAUAAUGGUAUUCCAGUCUGUGGUAAAGCCAUCUUUGAGAAGCCCUUGUACCAAUGAUUUCCAAACCUUAGAUGAGUAGGUACAUUGGAAAAAGAGAUGAUGGCAAGUCUCUUGCACUUCAUGACAUAGAGUACACUCUGCGUUUAUGGUAGCAUUCCAAGCUUGCAUUUUAUCUCCUGUUUGCAACCUGUUCUUUAUUGCAAUCCAGAUCAUAAAUGAGUAUUUCGGGGUGGACUCGGGGAACCAUAUGCCUCUGCUCCAAGGACAGAUAGAUUGCCUCGUCCUCAGCUGAUGCCAUGUCUUUUUAGUGGAGAAUCGGUUUCCAAAUUUUCCUUCUUCGCUUCUCCAUAACGGGACAUCAUCCAUGUCCCUUAACCCUCCAAUGCGCAAUUUAUUUAUGUCUUCCUCUAUAUCAUUUAGAAUGCGCUCUCUAUGUCUUCGCCUCCUGUUAUUUGAGAGGACAUCUGCCAUCGUAGCAUUUUCCACAAUACCAAGCGCUAUUUUACCUCUAUCACCUACGGCUUCCUUUAGGCAACCAAUCUGCGACCAGACAUUAUACCAAAAGGAUGUAUGGUUCCCAUUUCUGACAUCUAUACGCAGAAAUUGCCUUGCUAUGUCUCUCAUUCGUAGAAUCUUCUUCCAUAUCCAAGACCCCAAAUUUGUCUUAACUGAGAUCGACCAGAAAGACCCUUUCCUUAUCAAAUAACAAUGUAUCCACUUGACCCACAAGGAGGAUCUAGCAGAUGAUAUUCUCCAGAUUAGCUUCAGGCAGUGAACUUUGUUUAUCUCCUUUAAAGACCUGAUUCCCAAGCCUCCUUCAUUCUUUGGUAAGCAAAUGUCUUGCCAGCUCACUUUUGCUUUUGUAGGUUUUAAAACAGGGCCUGACCAGAGAAAGGCUGCGCAUAGACUUUCUAUUUCCUUCAAACAACUACCUGGGAGUCGAAAAGCCGCUAGCCAGAAGUUUGCUAGACUCAUGAUUACCGAGUUGAUCAGCUGUAGCCGCCCUGCAUGGGAAAGGAAACGACCAGUCCACGAGCUCAUGCGCUUUCUUAUCUUUUCCACCAAUGGCAUGUAGUCACUUACUGUCAUUCUCUUUGUGAGGAGGGGAAGACCUAAGUAGCGGACUGGUAGCUGUCCUGAGGCGAAGGGGAAGCUUUCGAGGGUCUCUGCUUCUUGUUCCACUGUUGGACCUGCCAUGUAGAGAACUGUUUUCUCCAAGUUGAUUUUCAGACCCGAUAUCACUUCAAAGUCUGCAAAGAUCCUAAGAAUACCUGCAAUAGACCUUCGUGUGCCAUCAGUGAAGACAAGCAGAUCAUCAGCAAAGCAUAAAUGUGUCAAGAGGAUGUUCCGACAUCUCGGAUGGUACCCUAUUUCUUUUCUUUCUACUGCCUUGUCAAGCAUAUUUGAUAAUACAUUCAUGCAUAUGACAAAGAGGUAUGGCGAUAGUGCACAACCCUGCCUCAGCCCCCUCUUGCUUUGAAAGAAACCCGCUAGUUCCCCAUUUACUUGUACUGAAAACGAAGGCGUGCACACACAUAGCUCAAUCCAAUGGAUAAAUUGCUCCGGCAUGUUCAAGGCUCGAAGGGUAUUCAAGAGAAAUGGCCACUGAACAGAAUCGAAAGCUUUUGCUAUAUCAAUCUUCAUGGCACAUCUUAAUGAGAUGUCCUCCUUGUGGUAGUCUUUUACAAUUUCAGUGGCGAGAAGUAGAUUUUCCACAAGCAAUCUGUCCUUCACAAAUGCGGACUGAUUGUAAGAUACACAGCGAGGGAGGGUGCCUUUCAGCCUGUUUGCGAUGAUCUUUGAGAUGACCUUAUACAAGACAUUACAGCAGGCUAUGGGUCUGUAGUCUUUCAUCUCCAUCGCCUCAUCUUUCUUUGGUAUCAACGCAAGGAUUGUGGUGUUGAGGCCCUUUGGAAGAAACCCCUUGCUGAAAAAAGAAUGCACCGCUGUGGUAAAAUCCUUUGAGAUGAUACUCCAUGAAACCUUGAAGAAUUCAACAGUAAACCCAUCAGGUCCCGGAGAUUUUCCACUAGGCAUUCGAAAUAGGACUUGUUUGAUUUCUGCAUCCGUUACCGGUUUAAUGAGAGUAUUAUGUUCUUCGUCGGAGCAGCGGAAGUUGAUGAUUUGCUGCAUCUCCUCUACUGUUUUCUGUUUCAACCCAUCCGGUAUAUGAGAUAGGGAUUUAGAGAAAAACCUCUCAGCCUCAUUUUUUAUUUCUUCUUGAGAUCGUACCACCUGCCCCGAUGCACAUCUAAUUUCUCUGAUUGCAUUCCUUGUCUCCCGAAUCUUAACGGCGUUGUGGAAGGCUUUAUUGUUUUUGUCUCCUACUUGCAACCAGUGUAACUUCGAUCUUUGCUUUAGAAUUUUUUCCUCAAUUCCAGAAACCUUCUGCCACCUCUCAGCUGCUAAUAGUUCUGCUUGUAUAUGAUCGUGGGAGGGAUCACUUAAGGUAGCUUCUUGCUUCUCACAUAAAUCUUGAUAUGCUUCCCUGACCUUCUUGGUCAAGUCACCCAGCUUCUCCUUGCUCAAACUUCUUAUCAGUGGUUUCAGGCCUUUGAGAACCUUUGAAAACCGAAACAGAGCUGAUGUGGACUGAAACAAUGGUAUCUUAUCUCUCCAAUAUUCUUCUAGCCUUCUAAGAAACUCUGGCAUUUCUGCCACUGCAUUCGUAAACUUAAAUGGUCUGCGUUUCCCAACAGCUUCAGGCUUCAAGUGGAACCUUCCUCUCAGGUGGUCUGAGCAACCUCCAGAUUCAAAGACAUUAUAGGCUUGAGUUCUCCUGUGAAGCCACACUUCAUUAACUAGGAUUCGAUCCAGUUUCUUACAUAUGAUCCCUUCAUCCCUCCUAUUGCACCAAGUGAACUUAGGGCCUUGAUACCCCAUAUCAGUGAAAUGACAAUACUGAACCACACUUUCAAACUCUCUCAUUCCUGUGGUUGUGAUCCCAGAGUCCUGAUAAUUUGAGUGCUCUCCUCCCCCCAGUAUUUCAUUAAAAUCUCCCAUGACUAUCCACUCCUUAUUUCUGAAUAAGGGUGAGCUUUGAUGUGACUUUAUAUCGUCCCAUAGCUCUCUUCUCUGCUCUACUGUGUUCUCCGCAUAGACGAAAGAACAAAAGAACUCUUCCUCCUCACCCUCCAGCAGAACUGAGACCGUGAUCAUUUGUUCUGACUUGAAAACAGGUGUGAGCCUGACGCGAGGGCUCCAAAGAACCCAUAUCCUUCCCUUCCUACUAAACUCGUAAUUGCUUAUACAAGACCAUCCUCUGCAGACUGAAUCAACAAUUGCAGCUGAUUUCCUUUCCUUCACUCUUGUUUCCAGCAAGCACCCAAACUGAAAAUCUUUACUUCUUAUCCAAUUAUGGACCACUGUGUGUUUUGAUGGCUUGUUGAAGCCUCUUACAUUCCAAAAAAACCCAGUCAUUGGGAAGAUUUGUUGGAGCUUCUUCUUCCUGAAUUACCAGGCAUGUUGAUCGCAAGGAUGACCUUAUGAUUCGUCUUGGAGUUUCGUGGGAUAUAGGGUCUUUUGUAAGUACUCUCUCCCUUUUCCGACUUUUCCUCAUCCCCUUUUGUCCCUUUCGUUUCAAACUUUUGUUUUCCUCCUUGUACUGUCUGUCCCCCUGCUACUUCAACUUGAGCUGGGUCUGAUGUCACAUCUUCCUCCAAAAGCUCUCCUCCUUCACGUUCUUCUGCCAUGUCCUUCCUUUCAUUUUUCUCACUCACCCCGAUUUCCUUCUGCUUUACAUUCCCCUCCAAUAUCACAGUUUCCUCCGGUAUUUUUGUAGUUUCAGAUUUCUCAUCCUGCUUCAAACUCUCAGAUUCCUCCAUAUUAUCUUUAACACUUUGCUUCUCUGGUUCUUCCACCUUCUCAGUUUCCUCUAGAUCAUUUAGCACUUCAGAUUUCUCAUCCUGCUUCAAACUCUCGGAUUCCUCCAUAUUAUCUUUAACACUUUGCUUCUCUGGUUCUUCCACCUUCUCAGUUUCCUCUAGAUCAUUUAACACUUCAAAUCUGGAAGCUAAUUUGACAUGACCGUACUUCAGCUCUUGCCUUUUGCUACUACUUUUACCAUUUGAGACAUUAUACCACUCUUCUACCACCUGUCCCUCUUCAAUUUCAUCAUCCUGCUCAAUGUUUUGCAAUUCUAAUUUAUCAUUCUCUACUACGAACACAUCGACCUCAUUGCCUCCACUCUCUCCUUGCUUUUUACUUGAUGUCUCCGUAGCUACUUUGGCUAGUUCCUUUGCCAUAUCCUGAACUGACAAUUCGUUACUCUCCUUUUUGCUCCUGACACAUGAUUUCUCGGCAUGUCCCCAUUUUGCACACGUGAGACACCGUAGAGGAAGCCAUGGAUAGAUGAACUCAACAUUGAAAGCCUUGCCAUUUUUUGUGAAUGUCAUCUGCUGCGGUAGCUCCUUUGUUAAGUCGGCAUUAAUAAACACCUUUGCUAGCUUGAAGUUUGUGCAAGACGCCGUCUCAGGGUGUAGUCUCACAGGGUAGCCAGCUGCACUUGUGAUAAAACUAAGCCCCUGCCAAGAGAACAUAUGCAUUGGAACAUUUUUGAGGUGGACCCAUAGUGGUAUAGACUUCACUUCUGGCUUCUCCUUUAGUUCAUCUGGAGUCCAUUUGGUAACUACCAAAGGUAUGUUCCCAAUGUUCCACAUGCCUCUUCGGAGAACCCUUGCUCUCACAUUAGCGUUUGUAAUGCGAAACUUCAUUGUAGUACCAUCAACCUCUUGUACAUCAAUCACUUGCUUCUUGUCCCCGUACGACCAAAUCUUGUUUACCACCGCAUGAAUACGAGCAAUAUGGGGAGCUGUGUCCAGGAAUUUUCCAAUCAAGUAAUCUUUCCAUAGUGGAUUUGCGUUGUUGAUAACCUCAUCUGGUAUCUCCACCGUUUGCUGUCCCUCAGACUCAGUGAUAGCUAGAUCGUAUUUUCUCAAGAUCUUCUUCUCUUGAGCCGCUGUAACCCAUGACAUCCCUUUUGAUGUCGUCGACCCCGAUUGACUCUUCGCAGCCAUACCCGGACCCUCUUUCUGUGUUUGUAACACCUGAACCGCCUCCUGACCCUCACCGCAGCAUCCCCCCUCGACGUUUGUUUAUUUUCCAGCCAUCGACCCAGCUCCCGAUCCGGGUCCCAGAUCCUCCUUUUGCACUUCUGCCACUCGCCCUACCCCCUGAGCACCUUCAACACUCGCCAGCACCCUUGAGCCGUCCGGCGGCUUCGUCAUGACGUAACCGCAGGUCGGAGUCCUUCGAAAUCGCCUAUCUCGCGAUCGCGUUGGAUGGAACCGACCGAAGAUCUGGAGUGUGGAGGAGGAAGUUGCCGGACGAUCUUGAAAAAAUCGCAGUUUGUUUCGCAAUCACUGUUCACUCAAUCGUUACUGUUCACUCAAUCCAACUCCUUUUGUCUAUAUUCACCAUUUUCAACUCCAUUAAAUUGGGGUUGAGUGUUUGCACUUACUUUCUUGUGUGUUUAUGGAAACGUUAAAAAGGUGUUGGGGACUUUCAUCACGGAAUGGGAUGAAGGUAAAGCUACCUGCAAAGGAGAUGCUUGCCACUAAGGAGUCUGCUCUGAUGUAUGCUGAGCGUUUGGUUGAGCUUGCUACUUCUCUAGGUUUUGAUGGUUGGCUGAUGAGUUUUGUAACAUAUCUGCAUCCAAAACAUACUACUAGUUAAGUGGAGAGAAGGUCAUUUCGUUUAUGUAAGCUGUUACAUGCAGAUUAAUAUAGAGAACGAAAUAGAUGAAGAACAGAUUCCUAAUUUGAAGGAAUUCGUAAGCCAUCUAACAAAAGUCUUGCAUUCAUCUACUCUUGGGGCUUUGGUUAUAUGGUGAGUUGUUAACAAGUUCUUUCUUUUGGUAUAACCACUUUGAUCUGAUCACCCUUUUUAAUUGCAGGUACGACAGUGUCACUGUUUCUGGCGAUCUCAAAUGGCAAGAUCAUUUGAAUGAGAAGAAUAAACCUUUCUUUGACUUGUGUGAUGGAAUCUUCAUGAACUAUACAUGGAAGGUACCGUUUUGGUUUUCGGUUUGUGUUUCUUCUAUUUGCCUUUGCAUGUUAUUUGAGUAAGUGAUGAUAUUUCAGGAGAGCUACCCCAACCUAUCAGCUGAAGUUGCUGGGGACAGAAAAUACGAUGUCUACAUGGGGAUUGAUGUCUUCGGUCGCGGAUCCUUUGGUGGUGGGCAAUGGACUGUAUGUUUUCAGAAACUCUUGCGAACACCAAUUAUUUUGUCAUUGUUUUUCUUCACUGUCUCAUCAAUAUCUAUAUAUAUGCUAGGUUGAUACUUCUCUUGAUUUGCUGAAGAGAAACAAUGUAUCAGCUGCCAUUUUCGCUCCCGGAUGGGUAUAUGAGACUGCACAACCUCCUAAUUUUCAUACAGCUCAGAAUAAGUACUACUCUUCUUUUGCCUGUUUGUUUGUAAAAUAAAUUGCCAUUUAUUUGUCAUCUUAUUAUCGUUCAUUCGUUCUCUUCAGAUGGUGGUCACUUGUUGAGAAGUCAUGGGGAAUAGUCCAAACAUAUCCACAAAUCUUGCCUUUUUACUCGGAUUUCAAUCAGGUAAACUGAGAUUGAUCUAGUCUUUCUUCCUAUCAGUUAUCUGAUGCUCCAUGGUACAACAUAUCUUGCCAAAGUCUCCAGGUUCAACCAUCUUAUAGUCAUUCAUUGUACAUAUAAUAUUAUCUUCUCAUCUGAUUGUUGUGUUAUUCACGUCAGCCACUCCUAGAGUUCAAGGAAGACAAGUUCUAAACUUGGACUCCUGCUUCGUUUCUCAUCCCCAUCACACGAAACUAAAUCAAUACUUGUGGCCCCACAAGAACCAAUCCCCAUAUUAGUAGAUCACAUGUUCUUGAAGUGCCUUGUCAUGGAUGGACACACACUGAUUGAAAUCUUUGCCUUUUGCUACGGACCAUAGAACUCGACAAAGACAUCAGAGUACGUUGCAUUGCUCGGUCACAUCUCAAUCAAAGAUCAUGUUCAGCUCCUCCAGCAAAACUUCGUUUCCUUACAUCAUGGGUCAUCGAGGCUCAUAACAUACAGCUUGUACCGUGUAAUUCCGGUUCUAAGAUCCUCAGGGUUAAGCUAGAAUGGAGACAGAAACAGCGUGAAGACUCUGUUCUCCCAGUGUACAAUGUGUAUGCAGAGAGUGUGAAGUCAACUGAUGUACUAAGAUCGAGGAAGGUUUUGGAGAAACCAAGAAGCGAGAGAGUGUUCCUCGGAAUCUCUCACGUACCAGCCUACUACGUUUCGGAACUGGUGCUAGAUUCGGACGUGAAAGGAGUCAGCUUCGUGGUUCAAUCCUGUGGUGAAGAUGGUUCAUGGAUGAAGGUAGAUGAUUCCCCUAACCUUCUUGUGGACUUGGAAGGUCUCUCGUAGGUUGCUUGAAACUAUGUAUGAAACGAUUAAUAAUGUAUAUUACAAAAUUACAUUAAUCUAGAAAGUGGGGAAAAACAUAAUAAAAAAAUCUGAACCAAGUCUCUUCCGUAUGGAAGUUUUGGUUUCUCAUCACUAGUAGUCUCUUUUCUGUAUAUUUUAUCGAAUGAAAGUGAGAUGAUUAUCACCAAAACUUGUUAUUUAUGGACGUGAGAAAGAACAAAUGCGGAAACUGAUUGGUUCAUCAACAUUUUUUUUUUUUGUUUACUACUGCCAUAUAUUGAAGAAACAAAAUAGCGAUGGAGUAAAAUCUUGGCUUCUUCCCGACGAUCUCGCCCUGAGAAAUAUUAUUUGAAGAAUAUACUCACUAUUAUAUGGCUCGAUCGUGAGUACAUUUAAUUCACGACGAAGAGUUGAUUCUUCUGUCACGAAGAAUGUUCUCAUUAUUAUAUGACUUCGAGCAGAUUGAUAUUUUUGUUCAUUUUGAUUGAUUCUUUUAUUCUUUUUGUCAUUUUGCAUAUAUUUCUCAUUUUGGAAGUCAUGAGGAAUAAACCAAAAAUAAAAAUAAGACCAUUCGCCGUUGAGUUUUCUUGAAAAGGUUGAUGUUUGUUUUCUUCUUACUAAAUGUAAGAGAUUCAUUCUUAUUUUGAAAUUCUAUCAAAAUUAAACUAGUUUAGCAGUUAAAUUAGUUCUUUUUUCAAAGCAAGGAAUGUCAUAAAAUCUUGAACUUUUAAAUAAUAAGUAAAAAAGAUAAAACAUUUAAUAUCAAAUCGAAAGACUACAAUAUAUGCAAAUAUGCAUGGGUCUCGUAGUCGUAAACGUUAGUACUUUUGGGUCAAUAUGCAUGGGUCGUUAGUAUACGUUAGAUUAAAUCCAAAUGUAAACCUAAGCAAAAUAAAACUUCAUAAAUUACGUUUUCUUUGGUUUAGACAAUUCUUUUUUUUUUUUUGAAAAUUCAUGUAAUUAGUGUAGGGGACCAAUAUGUGUAGAAAAUUGACUAUCCGACACAAAGAUUUUGCUUUCGACGUGACGAAUAAUGUAUUUUUCUCUAUGGAUUUUUUUUUGUGGGGAGUAAAUACAGAGUCUAUUAUUGUGUAUAUAAAGAAAUGACCAUGGAAGCAUAUUACUCAUCACCAAUUUCCCUUUUCUUUUUGCUCUUUCAGUUUUUGAUAUUCAAGAAAGUUAAAUAAGCUUAAAGAAGAAUGAAAGGCUAUUGGAACUUAACGAGUACCAUUUCUCUUACUCUUUCUAUACUUUUUUUAUUCGGCUACAGUUAUGAGGACGUGUCUGCGGUUCCAACUACGCACUUGUGUCGUCCAGAUCAAAGGGAUGCACUUCUUCAGUUCAAGAACGAGUUUGAGGUUCUAAACUCUUCCUUUGCUUAUGAUUGUUAUUUAGAUGAUUAUAUAGUAAAGCGUCAUCCAAAAACGGAAUCAUGGCGGAAUAACAGCGACUGUUGUACUUGGGAGGGUAUCACGUGCAACGUCAAGUCCGGUGAAGUGAUCGAGCUAGACCUUAGUUGCAGCUACCUAGGUGGCAGGUUUCAUUCCAAUAGCAGUCUUCAAAACCUUCAUUCUCUCACCACCCUAGACCUUUCAAGUAAUCGUUUUAGUGGUCAAAUCAUGUCUUCUAUCAGAAACCUUUCUCAUAUCACCUCUCUCGACCUUUCAGAAAAUGUUUUCAGCGAGUUCAUUCUUUCUUCGAUUGUAGACCUUUCGUAUCUCACCUAUCUCGAUCUUUCAUGGAACUUUCUUUCUGGUCAGAUUCCAUCUUCGAUUGGAAAUCUUUCUCAUCUCACUUCUCUUGACCUUUCUGGGAACAAUAUUGUUGGUGAAAUCCCAUCUUCUUUUGGCAAUCUAAACCAUCUGACCAGCUUAGAUGUUGCUGUAAAUAGGCUCAAUGGAAGCUUUCCCAUUGCACUACUAAAUUUGACGAAGUUGUCAUCUUUAGAACUCUAUUACAAUCAGUUCACAGGAACAAUUCCUCAUAACAUCACUUCACUAUCCAAAUUGACGACCUUUUAUGCAAGUAACAAUGCUUUCACUGGAACCCUGCCUUCUUCUCUCUUCACCAUUCCUUCUAUUGAUUACGUUAAUUUGUCUGAUAACCAACUCAACGGUAAUCUUGAGCUUGGGAAUAUAUCUUCACCACCUAAGCUACGAGUGUUAGUCGUUGGCAAUAACAAGUUGAGAGGGCUGAUUCCGGGCACGAUAUCUAAAUUUACCAACCUUGUCAGACUUGACCUUUCCCGUUACACAACACAAGGUCAAGUUGACUUUAGUAUCUUCUCACAUCUCAAGUGGCUCAAACUUCUUGAUCUAUCCGAUUUGAACGCGACCACUACGAUUGACAUGAAUGAUUUCUUGUCAUAUUUUAAGAGGCUCGGUGUGUUGGAUCUCUCAGGCAACCAUGUUUCAGCCACAAACAAGAGUCCAAUUUCAGAUCCCUCUUCUUUGUAUCAGUUGUACUUGUCAGGCUGCGGUAUCACCGAGCUCCCGGAGUUUGUAAGAUUGCAAAAUAUGGAGAAGCUAGACAUUUCUAACAAUAAAAUCAAAGGACAAGUGCCUGGCUGGUUAUGGAAGAUACCAAAGCUGAUUUACCUGAAUCUUUCCAACAACACCUUCACUGGCUUCGAAAACUCAACGAAACAUGGGCUAUCUUUAAUGGCCUUGUUAGCCUCCAACAACAAUUUCACGGGAAAGAUUCCCUCUUUAAUAUGUGAUUUGCGCUUUGUAUUCAUUCUUGAUUUAUCAAACAACAACUUCAAUGGUUCAAUCCCUCGUUGUCUGGGAAAUCUCAACUAUACUCUUACAGAUCUAAACCUUGGUCAAAAUCAUCUUCAUGGAGGUCUUCCGGAGAAUAUAUUUGGAAACUUAAGAGCGCUUGACGUCGGUCAUAACCAACUUACGGGAAAGCUUCCAAGAUCUUUGAUCCGGUUCUCUAGUCUUGAAGUUCUGAACGUGGAAAGCAACUUCUUCAAUGAUACGUUUCCAUUUUGGUUGAGUUUUCUACCAGAGUUAAAAAUUCUUGUGUUACGCUCCAAUGCCUUCUAUGGAACGAUACAUCAUACUUCGUUCCCUAAAUUGCAAAUCAUCGACAUAUCGCACAAUCACUUCAAUGGAGCUUUGCCUUCACACUACUUUGUGAAGUGGAGUGCUAUGUCAUCACUUGGGUCAAUUUAUUAUCAGCCUGAUGAAAUGUACAUGGGAGAUUCAUAUUACCAUGAUUCAGUGGUGUUGAUGAAUAAAGGUAUAGAGAUGGAGCUUGUACGUAUCCUAAAGAUCUACACAGCACUCGACUUUUCAGGGAACAAAUUUGAAGGAGAGAUCCCAAGGUCCAUUGGUCUAUUAAAAGAGCUUCUUGUGCUCAACUUGUCGAACAAUGCUUUCACUGGCCACAUCCCUUCAUCUAUGGGAAACUUGACAGCUCUUGAGUCAUUGGACGUUUCCCAAAACCAGCUUUCAGGAGAAAUUCCGCAAGAGCUAGGGGAACUCUCAUUCCUUUCGUACAUGAACUUCUCUCAUAACAAGCUUACAGGUCUAGUACCAGGAGGCACUCAGUUUCGAAGGCUGAACUGCACUUCUUUUGAGGAUAAUCCGGAACUUUCUGGCCCUUCUCUUGACGAAAUUUGCAGAGAUAUUCACACGCCAACACCGCAUGAACCGUCGGAAGAAGAAGAAGAAGAAGAGGAAGAGGUGUUGAGUUGGAAAGCAGCUGUAAUAGGAUUCAUACCUGGUAUUGCCUUUGGAUGGGUGAUUGGAUAUAUACUUUUUUCCUACAAACCACAGUGGUUCUUCAUGAACCCUUUUGCCCGAAACAAGCGCAGAAUCAGCAGCACCACUACUCAUUAAAGUUCUUUGUUGGCAGUUUUUUUUUACGUUUUAUUAAACUUCUUUGUUUCUCUGUAAUUGAACAACUAUGUUUCUUAAGCUGAAAGUUACAAGCACAGUCAAAGAUGUGUCGUUUUUUCCCCUCUUGUGAAUCUAAACAUCAACUGUUUAGACGUGAGACGAGCAAUGAACAGAUGAUCCACAUCAACGUUAUAAUCAACACAGGGCUUUAGAAAAGGAUCAAUACUAUUAAAAAGGAAAAAGUUUUAAAAAAUCUACUUAAAAAAAAUUGUUGCAUCCUUUCAUUUUUAGUCCAACCUAUAAUAUAUAACCAAAUAUUAUAAUAACAUUUAUUAUAACAACCAAAUAAGAUUCUAGCGAAUAUCUUUCUCUAAUAGUUUUGGUAAUAUAUUAAUUCUCUAAUUGUUAGAUAUUUGUUCAUUAUUUAGAAAAUCUGUGUGACAUAUCUGGUCUAUUAAAAAUAUGUAUCACUAGAUAUUACGGAUUACGGUUACCAAAUAACAUUUGAAAAGAGUUUUUGUAUAUAUGUCGAUAUGUUACAUUGCAUUCAAAUAUAUAGGUUACUUUCGUGGUUUUCAAAUGAAUCAGUCCAAAUCUUAUAGUUUUCUAGAUUCCCUAAUAAUAUAAUUGUACAAUAUUAUACUAUAUUUUCUUAUAUCACACAUUAGUAUAUUAAAUAUAUAUUUACUUAUCCCAUGCGGUAAUAUAGUUAAAGGGAUAAUGAUGUAUUCCUAUAUACUAGGGACUUAGGUUUAUCUACACGUUCAUAGAUUCUAUAUUCUCGUUGUAUAAGUACCAAGAUUGGUUGAUGAAUAAACACAGACUUUACAUUAUAUUUUAUGGUAUCAGAGCUAAGAUUUCAUAACUUAUUUUUUUUUUUCAAUACUAUUGAUCUUCUUCUAUCUUCUACUACUACGGUUCAUCAACCAUAAUGGCUGAGCACGACACGCCAGCUGUUUCUACAACUACGCAGGCGACUUCCAGAGAUUCGUCACCAUACUAUCUACACCCAUCAGACAAUCCUGGAGCCCUUAUUACUUCUGUUCUACUUAAACAAGACAACUAUACUGAAUGGGCUACAGAACUCCGAAAUUCUCUCCAAGCGAAACAGAAAACAUGUUUUAUUGAUGCUACCAUUCCAAAACCUACAGACGGACCAGACUUAUCGCGAUGGCUUGCAGCAAAUUCUAUGAUUGUCGGAUGGAUUCGCACUUCAAUCGAUUCAAAACUCAGAUCAACAGUUACUCAUGUGCCUGAAGCACACAAGCUUUGGGAAUCUCUGCGUUUUCGUUUUUCUGUCAAAAACGGGACCCGUCUACAUCAGCUACAAGAUGAAAUAACAAAUUGCAAGCAAGAUGGACAGACGGUCCUUGACUACUAUGGUCGGUUAACUAAACUCUGGGAAGAGUUGCAGAAUAUGAAGACAACUCGACCUUGUACGUGUGCUGCUGCGACUGAUAUUGAAAAAGAAAGAGAAGACGCGAAAGUUCAUAAAUUCUUGUUUGGUCUAGACGACUCGCGAUUCUCUGCCAUCCGUUCUCGCAUCACCGACGAAGAUCCAUUACCGGAUCUCAAUAUUGUUUACUCAAGGGUGAUUCGUGAGGAGCAAAACAUGGCAACUACCCGAUCUAAAGAGCAACGAACCGAAGCUUUAGGGUUCUCAGUUCAAACCGAGAAUUCCAAAGAGUUGGUUUCUGCCAAAACUGAUACUACUCCACGACCAAGAGAUCCUUCUCGAACUUGUACCCAUUGUGGUCGUACAGGUCACGAUAUAACAGAGUGCUUCUUGGUCCAUGGCUUUCCUGACUGGUACACUGAACAACAACAACAACGCAAUGGUUCAUCAUCAUAUCGAGGUGGACGUGGUGGUCGUUCUAACAACAAUCGUGGGCGUGGCCGCGGAAGAGCUAAUGCUGCACAAAGCAAUUCUCACCAACAAUCGGAUCAGAUUGCAUCUCUGAUCGCACUUCUCCAAAACCAACAAAGCAAUUUAUCAUCGGAACGCUUGUCGGGUAAAACAAUGCUUACUGACGUUAUUAUUGAUACAGGGGCAUCACACCAUAUGACGGGUGAUAUAUCAUUAUUACAUGAUGUCUAUGAUAUCCCAUCAUCAUCGGUUACAUUUCCUAAUGGACGUGAUUCUCUUGCUACGAAGCAAGGAUCUCUGCGUCUCAGCAAGGAUUAUGUGCUUCACGAUGUUCUCUGUGUCCCCGAUUUCUAUUGCACACUCAUAUCAGUUUCGAAACUUUUAAAACAAACUGGAUGCAUAGCAAUAUUUACUGAUACAUUGUGUGUUUUACAGGACCGUUUUUCGAGGACUCUGAUUGGAGCAGGUGAAGAACGUGAGGGGGUGUACUAUUUUACGGGGGUUAAGGUUGCACGAAUUCAUGGAGCUUCUAAGACAAAAUCUUCUUCUUCAACUCUGUGGCAUCGUCGACUUGGCCAUCCAUCCUACAAAGCUUUGUCUUCUUUACCGGUGUUUCAGAAUUUUAAAAUAGAUUUUAGUGAGUCUAAAUGUGAUAUUUGUUUCAAAGCAAAACAGACUCGCCAAGUGUUUCCCGAUAGUCUUAAUAAAGCUGUUUUUCCUUUUGCAUUAAUCCACUGCGAUGUUUGGGGACCUUAUAGAACACCAGCCUCUUGUGGGGCUGUAUACUUUCUUACCAUAGUGGAUGAUUACUCGCGAGCUGUAUGGACUUAUUUGAUGCUUGAAAAAUCAGAAGUCUCUUCUCUUAUACGCAACUUUUGUGCGAUGAGUGAACGCCAGUUUGGACAUAAAGUACAGACCAUACGGACAGAUAAUGGAACGGAAUUCAUGACACUCGGACCUUACUUUCGCGAGACCGGUAUCAUUCAUCAGACAUCUUGUACCUAUACACCCCAACAAAACGGUAGAGUGGAAAGGAAACACAGACACAUAUUGAAUGUGGCUCGUGCCUGCAUGUUCCAGUCACGAUUACCUAUUGAAUUUUGGGGAGAGAGCAUCUUGGCUGCGGCUCACGUCAUUAACCGAACACCUACUAACAUUCUUAAUGGUAAAACGCCUUAUGAAGUUCUUCAUGGUCGACCACCUAUCUAUGAGCAGUUAAGAGUGUUUGGUUGCCUCUGUUACGCUCACCUAAGACCUCGUGACAGAGACAAAUUUGCUACAAGAAGUCGAAAAUGCAUAUUCGUAGGUUACCCCUUUGGCAAGAAAGCUUGGCGCUUGUAUGAUGUCGAAACUAAUGAGUUUAUUGUUAGCCGGGAUGUGGUGUUUUUCGAGGAUCAGUUUCCAGGUAUUGAAGACUUACCUUCGGUUACAGUACCAGUUUCACAAACUGCUCUUCCUAUUGACGACUGGUUGAUAAAUUUUGAAACUCCAGUUCUCUCUACUACACCUGAACCUUCUCCUACUAUACCCACGACUUCCUCUCCUACUCACAAUACUACUACUACACCUGAUGUUUCUUCUCCGCCUUUACCAUCUACACCUACUGCCCCGUCUACAAGCAAUUCCCCACCAGAUACUGUUGUCCAACCAACUCCUAACCCUACUUCUGCAUCUCCACUACCGUCUCCAUCUUCACCAAUACGUGAUCAUGACAUAUCGGGAUCUUCUCCUGGCCUACUUGAUCUUCUUGGACGUGGUCAUCGAACAAAGAAACCAUCGGUCUUAUUGAAGAAUUUUCUCACGAACUCUGCAACUACAAACACCCCUCACGUUCUCAACAAGCAAUAUCAGAGUUCUCCAUCAACGGUCUCAGGUAAGACACUGUAUCCCAUUGCUGAUUACUCAUCUACCUCUGCUUUUACUGCUAACCACCAGGCGUUUCUAGCAAAAAUUACUACAGAUUUUGUUCCAAAGAAUUAUAAAGAAGCCGUCAAUGAUCCAAGGUUCAACGGUGCAAUGAAAACAGAGGUAACAGCUUUAGAAGCUAACCAUACUUGGGACAUUACAGCUCUCCCUCCUGGCAAGAAGGCAAUCGGGUGUGGCUGGAUUUAUACAAACAAGUAUAAAGCAGAUGGUACUCUUGAACGACCAAAAGCUCGCCUGGUUGCUCGUGGUAAUAGACAAAAAGAGGGACUUGAUUACAAAGAUACAUUCGCCCCUGUGGCAAAGAUGAAUACGGUUCGGUUUCUUCUGAAAGUUGCGGCUGCUAAGCGAUGGGAGAUCCACCAAAUGGAUGUCCACAACGCGUUUCUACAUGGAGAUCUCGAAGAAGAAAUAUAUAUGGAACUUCCUCCUGGUUUUAAAUCUGAUGAUCCAUCCAAAGUUUGUCGUCUUCGGAAGUCUUUGUAUGGUCUUAAACAAUCUCCUCGCUGCUGGUUUGCGAAACUUAGUCAAGCUCUCAAGUCGUUUGGCUUUGUUCAAAGCUACGAGGAUUACUCUCUGUUCUCAUUCAUGGAAGCUAACAUAUGUCUCCAUAUUCUGGUUUAUGUGGAUGAUUUUAUAAUUGCUGGCAAUGACGCUGCUACUAUUCAAAGAUUCAAGGAUUACUUACAUCGAUGCUUCAAAAUGAAAGACUUAGGCAAACUUAAAUAUUUUUUGGGUUUGGAAAUUGCUAGAGGACCUGAAGGGAUAUUUGUCUCUCAGAGGAAGUAUGCACUCGAUAUCAUAACCGAGUGUGGCUUACUUGGAGCGAAACCAGCGCCAGUCCCAACUGAACUCAACCACAAACUUGCACUCGCCAAGGGCAUGAGACUUCAGGAUCCGGGCAAGUAUCGUCGUCUUGUUGGACGAUUGAUAUAUCUUACUUUCACACGUCCGGAGCUAAGCUACAUUGUUCACAUUCUAUCACAAUUUAUGCAUAAACCGCUUGAAGAUCACUGGGCAGCUGCGUUACGAGUCAUCCGCUAUCUUAAAGGCUGUCCAGACCAAGGUAUCAUGCUGUCUUCCGACGCAAACCUUACUCUUACCGCAUACUCUGACUCGGAUUGGUCUGCGUGUCCUAUAACACGUCGUUCUCUAAGUGCCUACGUUGUUCUUCUUGGUGAUUCUCUUGUUUCGUGGAAAACAAAGAAGCAACGGACAGUGUCUAGAUCAUCAGCUGAAGCUGAGUAUAGAUCAAUGGCAGAUACUACAUGUGAGUUAAAAUGGCUCAAACGACUUCUUCUCCAGUUCGGCUUCUUUCAUCCUCAACCCAUGAGACUUUUCUGUGACAGUCAAUCUGCGCUCCAUAUUGCUAAGAAUCCUGUGUUCCAUGAACGUACCAAACAUGUCGAAAAUGAUUGUCACUUUGUUCGAGAUGCUGUGCGUGACAAGCUUAUUACUACUGAACACAUUACAACGAGGAAUCAGCCUGCGGACUUACUUACCAAAGCCUUGCCCACUCCGACAUUUCAUCAUUUGUUGUCCAAGUUGGGAAUUCGAGAUAUGUCAUUACCAACUUGAAGGGGGGUAAAGGGAUAAUGAUGUAUUCCUAUAUACUAGGGACUUAGGUUUAUCUACACGUUCAUAGAUUCUAUAUUCUCGUUGUAUAAGUACCAAGAUUGGUUGAUGAAUAAACACAGACUUUACAUUAUAUUUUAAUAGUACUCAUUUUCAAACUGUACUAUUAAUCAAUUUUCACUGUUUGGCUUCUUAAAAUAUUGGCUAGGUAAUUUAAAAUAUAUGAAUAGUAGCCAAUCAAAAACUUUAAGUUCUAAACUAAUAUUUGAUUGUUUAAACUUUUACUAAACUAUCCUAGAUUUUUUCCAAUUCUAAUAAUAAUAAUAAUAAUAAUAAUAAUAAUAAUAAUAAUAGAAAAGAGAGUAGGCUUAGGCAUUCGAUUUUUAGGUCAGGUACGGAUCAGUUUCUUUCGCGCAUAGGUCUUUCGGAUCCUAGACAUUUAGACCUAAGUAGGUAUUUGAAUUUUUUUUUUGUUUUGGGUUGGUGUCAGUUCUUCUUGUGUUUGGAUCAAUAAUUAAGAUACAUGUAAACUACAUAUAAUUUUUGGAUACCUAAUGAGUUCAGAUCGGUUCAGAUAUUUAGGAUCUAAAAAAGAUUCGAAGUACCAAAAACUUUAAAAAUACAUGAAACACAAAAAUAUUCAAAAGUAUUUAAAUACUCAAAAUGAUGUGAAUAUAUUAUUCAUUAAUAUAAUUGUUUUUGUACUGUUUUUAUCUUGUGCAGUUUUGAAAGUGCAAUAUGUAUUAUACUAAUUUAUGUCAUUAAUUUAAAUGACUAACAAAUGAUUGAAAAAAAAAAAUUUCAUAUGAACAUGUUUAUUUUCAAUCUGUUCAUCAUCAAAUGUAAUGGCAUGUAUAAAUGUUAAUUGUAUAACGUGAUGUAUCAUAGAUGAAAGAUUGCAAAAAAAAAAAAAUUAACAUCGAAAACUCAUUGCAAAUAAUCUAAGAGUUUUGGAGUAAUACAACCAAACAAUUAAACUCUAAAUCACCAAUAUACAACAUAAUAAACCUCAAUAAAACAGAGAUAAUGUAGAAAAAUACAGAUUUAAAAUGACAAUGACAAUGACAAAGAUGAUACAUUACCAUUUUUGGUUCAAUUAUUAAAUGAAACAUACUUUUUAUGAAUCAGACUUAGUAUAGGUUAUUGAGUCAAAUAUUUAAAUCAUACAAAUAAUUCAAUAUCACAUAUAUGUAUGGCCAAAACCUAUAUAUAGGUUAACAUAGAUGUAUGUCAAAAAUCUAAAAUACAAGUAUACCAUCAAUGAAAUAUCUAAGUUAGUGUUAAAUUAAGUGUCAUUUUUCGUUAAUAUAACUUAAACUUAAUAAGAAAAAUACCACUAACAAUUUUUUUUUGACAACAAUACCACUAACAAUUUAAAACAAUAAAUUAAAUUAUUGCAUGUGAACUAUAAAAUUUUAUAUCACUAAUCAUGUAAAACAAAUAUGUAUAUGUUAUGAACCAGAUUGUGGAUGGUUCAUAACCAAGAGAUUAUGAUUUGUAAUCUUUCCAUUUAUUUAUGACGGUGUAAUCUUCUAUAUAAGAAACCUCUAUGUUAUGAAUAAAGAUAGAUUUUUCCAUUACUUUUAUAACACGUUAUCAGCACGAAACUCUAAAUCUCUAAGCUAAUACCCAAAUAGGAAAACCCUAAAACCCUAACCCUAGCCGGUGAUCCGACGAACCCUAAACCCCGAUCGCGUCUCUUGUUCCCGCAUCUGUUCCAGCUCGCGUCCCCGAUCAACUUCAGCCCAAGGCAUUCAUGAUCCUAGCUCAGACGUUCGCGGCCCGAGAGCAGCUCCAGCACGCGACAUCUUCCUCGUUCGCUACAACAUCAGACAGCUCGCGUCCCGUUCGUGCCCAGCUCGUGGCUCAACUCCUUUGGUGGUCCGAUUCAACAAUCAUCUAAGGUUAAAAGGUAUUUCAAAACCUAAGAACCCAUAAUCGAACAUGGAUUGAUUGAUAAAAAAUGAAACCCUAAAACCCUAAUCUUUAUGAAUCAAAACCAUAGGGUAAUAGAUCAAAAAUCCUAAUUGAGUAAUUUGAGGUUUAAAUCCGUGUGAGUUAGGAUUGAUAGUUUUUAUAACCUGAUUGAAUGAUUUGAGGUUUAAUAUUGCAUGUUAGAAUCUGUUAUAAUAUAAACCCUAAUUCGAAUUGAUAAACCCUAAAAUAGAAUCUGUGUAUUGCAUAAUCCGAAUUGAAUGUUUUGAGGUUUCAUAUUAUACUAGGUUGAUAGUUUCAUGAUAUAAUCAAUUGUUCUGAGGUUUAAUAUUAUUUGCUAGAAGCUGAUUGAUUGAUAAAACCCUAAUUUCGAUUGAAACCCUAAACCCUAAUUUGCGUAUUCCUAAAAUCAGAUUGCUUGAUUCCAUCUUGCUAAUAUCAGCCUUGAAACGGAUAAAUAUCAGCCUUGAAACGGAUUAAUAAAAUUGAUAGAAUCAGCCUUGAAACUGAUUGUUUUGGUUUUUCAUGCUUCAAACCCUAUUUUUGGAUCGAAACCCUAAAUUGUGUAAUGCUUAAAUCCGUUUGAUUACUUUUGAUUAUUGAUCCAAUUGCUACUCUUGAUAAAACCUAAUUGAAUCUGAUUGUUAGUCUAGCUAAAUCUCAUACCUGAAACUGAUUGAUUAAUUGUUAAAUCUUGAUUGAAUGUUUUAAUAUUACCCUUGCACAUAUAGAAUCCGAUUGCUAAGAUUGAGUGCAUCAUAUCUACUUGGCCGUGUGGCCAGUUUGCAUCAUAUCUACUUGGCUGAUUGAUUACGCGUUUAAGCACACACCAAUUAACCUAAUGUGCCAACAAUACCACAAUCGAAUGGUAUGUCAUUGUAGCAUUUUAGGAUCGAAUCCACAGAGAACUAGAGACUUAUAACACCAAGAAUACACAAACCUUCCUAAUCUAAGCAAACAAGAAGAUAGAUGAUUUGUAACAAACUAAUAUCCUAGAAAUAUAAACAAGGUGAUCUCAGAUCCAAUCAAGAAAUAAGUGCAAGAAUUCAAUCAAAUACUAAGGAUGGAUCCAUGGUAAGGAUAAUUGAUAUAAAAUGAUCAAGGUUCAAUCUAAAGGUGGCAACAUUCAAUCAAUCUAUCAACCUUAGGCUUAGACACAAUCCUAAACAAACUCUAUCUCUAGAUGGAUGUUCAUUCACUAAGAUAACUCAAGCAUCAAAUCUCUUUGGUUGAAUAUUAUCUAAGCAAUCAUUAAAAUCAAGUCUAUUAGCCAUUUUAACACCUUUAACAACAAAUCUCUUUGGUAAAGAAUGUUAAAAGCUUAGGAGAGUUGGUUCAGACAUUUCAUCAANNNNNNNNNNNNUGUUUCUUGCCCACUCUUUUGAUAAUAAGAAAGCAAAUAUUAUACAGAAAAGUAGGAAAAAUCGUGCAAAGGAAAGGUGGGUGGAAGAAAGUGGGAAGUUGGUUAAUCCCAUCAACUUUCCAGUGGUCCCCGGCAAGGGUUGAUACACCUGUAGUAAAUCGAUUAUAACUUAUCCAAUACAGCUCCAAAUGACUUGAAACCACUUCCAUUGGAAAGCUAACUCAAUUUCCAGUGUCUCCACAAAUUUUGAGCUUCAGAAAAGAUCUUUAAGGCUUUCAUCCGUGUUCAUCUUUCACUCUCCGGAUUCGGGAGCGACCUCGCUGUGUCGCUGCGAGAGGUCGCUCCGGAUUCGUUGUCUCCGGGUGAUCAAUACGCGAGCGACUCUUCCCUGUCGCUCUAGUAAGGUCGCUCUGAUAGGGAGAUCAUAGCGACGUCAAGGUGUCGCUCCGGACUGGUCGCUCCGGGCGAUCAAUACGCGAGCGACUCUUCCCUGUCGCUCUAGUAAGGUCGCUCUGAUAGGGAGAUCAGAGCGACGUCAAGGUGUCGCUCCGGACUGGUCGCUCCCAUGCCUUGCUCGCCGAAUGACCACUCUAAACACUACUUUUUGACUCCAAUUGCACUCAAAAUCCCACCAAUGGUCCUCUAAUUCAUCCAUGGUGCUCUCCAACACCUGAUAUGUACAAAUGCAAUGAUAUGCAACCUAAAUGUGCCUAAAUGAUGCUCUAAAUGACCAAACCAUGCAAGAAUAAGAAGUUAAAAACAUGUAAAUUCACAAGAUAUCACUGUGUGGCCAGUUUGCAUCGUAUAUCAUCAUGACCAACAUGUUUAUGUUAUACGCAUGAUCUGAUUAUUAUCACCUUUGCAUGAUCUGAUUGUUUUAAAUUAAGGUUCCAUAAUUCCACUCAUGUACAUAUAGAAUCAGUAUGCUAGGUUUGCAUUAUAACCAUAUGACCACAUAUUGAUCAAAAAAAAAACAUAUGGCCACAUGAAAACAUAUAGAAAUUGCUUGUUUUGUCGAUACCCUUGCUUGAUAAAUCUGUGUGACUUAUUAUGCAUCAUAUAUCACUUUGGCCGUGUGGCCUUAUUGCAUUAUAUCACAUUUGGCCGUGUGGCUUGUUUGCUUAUUAGAAAUGUAUUGACUUGAUAGCAUGUCUUGUUUAUGGCCGUGUUUUAAAUAUUUUAUGAGAUCUAAAAUUGAUUGAUAUAUUAUUUGAGAUGUCGAAAAUCAACUUGGAUUUUGCUGCCCUAAAUCUCUCAUGAGAUAAUUAUUUGAAAUAGGCACUGGAUACUGAGUUUAUCUUAAAGUCAAAGGACUUGGUGAAUGAAUCACAAAAGGCGAUAAUGCCAAAUGAGAAAGAUUGAUACAUGGCAAUAUUAAUUAUUAGCCAUCAUCUUAAAAAGAGCCUCAAAGAUCAGUAUCUGACUAUAGAGAAUCAUCUAGACCUUUGGACAGAGUUAAAAAAAAUCGAGAAAUGAUCACCAAAGAACGGUGUUAUUACCAACGACCCUAUUUGAUUGGAGGAAUCCCAGAUUCCAGGACUAUAAGUCCGUGGAUGAGUCUAUUGCUAGCUGGGCAAAAUAAUGGAUUACUGAUGAGAAAAAGUGACUUGAGACCUCCUGGAUUAACCCUAUUACCUGAUUCCAAUAAGGCCGCAGAAAAAAAAAAAAAGGUAACCACGUCCAGAAUGAUAGACCACACGGUCAUAGCCGUGGAGGGUGGAAAGGACGUGGCCAUGGCCACUAUAACACAUUUGGCCGUGGUAAUCACUAUGGCAGAGGCCGUGGGUAUCAACCCAAUUUGAGCCAUGGUCAAGGCAGUGGCCGUGGUAUAUCCUUUAAACCACAAAGCUCGACCAAGUCAGUGUGCCAUAGAUGGAAUGGGAAACCAUUGGGCUAAGAUAUGAAGGACUCCCAAACAUUUUUGUGACCUCUAUCAAAGAGGGUCUGAAAGGGAAGAAUCCUGAAACACACUUGGUCUAUAAAGAUGGUGAAAAUAAUCUCGAACAUGAUCAAGAUGAUCUUAUGGAAUAUGAGACUUAUGAUUAUCUAAAAGAAUCAAGUUGAUAAUCUGAUUUCGACAUCAAACUUGUGUGAUUGCUUUGCUUGUAUGCUUUCUCUGAUUUUUAUCUCCUUGAAUUUAUUUCUAUUACAUUGUCUGCUUAGAUUAAAUGAAUGAAUGAUUUUUCUAUAUGAGUACACUGAAAAACGCCAAUAUAAGUACUAAAGCAGGUAUCGCCAGUCUGAAAGAAGACUAUGGCUAGGCUAAUAUAUUAUUGCCUAAGGGUAUGCAUCUAGAAAUCAGUGAUGCCUUAUAUUCACCCAGCUCUAAGAGCAAGAGCAGCCUAUUGAGUUUUAAAGAUAUAAGAAUGAAUGGUUUCCAUAUUGAAACAAUGGGCGAAGGAAACAAAGAGUUCCUUCAGAUAUAUGUAUAAAAUCGCCCAAGGCCAUAAUAAGUCCUAAAGACUAUACAUGCAUUCUCUACCGACCUAGACUAUGCAUAAAUCAGUAUGAUUGAGGCUAAAAGCCUGCGAAAAUAUACACUUUAUGGCACGACCGGAUUGGCCAUCCUGGUCCAAACAUGAUGCGAAAAUUGAUAUUCAAAAGGCACACAUUAAAAGAUAAGAAGAGUUAUCCCAAAGAAUCUCACGUGUGUAGCAUGUACACAAGGAAAACUCAUUAGGCCAUCACCAGUAAAACGGCUACGAGCCCCUUUUUCAUAAUAAAUACUAUAUGUAUAGAUACUACUGGUGAAUACAUGUCCCAAGCGUUUAAAUGAUUAUGGUAUGUCCAUAGGGGUAAGUGUGGACAAUUCUGUGAUACAUGUCCAUACCAAGAAAGGAUAUACCAUAACUUAUGAGGUCAAAACUCCCAUUCACAGCUUGGGCCACACGAAAUUUACAUGCACCUAAGCUAAUACGCAUCAUGCUAUUUAGUGAGCAUAGAUAUCCCGUAUCACAAUUAUUAACGGGUCAAAAGCCAGACAUACCCCAUCAUAAGACAUUUGGAUGUGCUGUCUAUGUACUAAUUGCUCCACCACAGAGAACUAAGAUGAGACCUCAAAAGGAGGAUGGGGAUAUAUGUUGGAUAUGAUUCUCCCACAAUAAUAAAAUACUUUGAGCCAACUAUGAGUGAUUAAAUUUGAGGCCAGGUACACGGAUUAUUUUAAGACUAGGAGGAGAGAAAAAUAAUAAAGCUGGUAAAAGAAUGGUAAAAGAAAUAGAAUGGAAUCAACCAUCAAUGUCUUGGCAAGAUCCUCGGACUAAAGAAUGUGAAAUAGACGUCUAAAGAUUAUACAUUUACAAAGCUAGCUAAUCAAAUGCCAGACACAUUUGCUGACCCGGAAAAGAAUGACUAAGUCAUAUAUAAACCAGCUUGUAAAGCACCAACGAAUUUGAUGUCGAAGAAGAGACACAGUCAAGUUGAUACAGAUUCUAGACAACGUAUGAACGUGGUGGACCAAUAGGUUCCAAAAGAUAAGAAUCCUCGGAAACAAAAGAAAUGUGCAGAGAAUGAUAAUCAAAAUCCAAAUCCGAGGUUACUAAGGAAACCAUCCCAGACAUGGAGAUAAGGCCGGCCGGCUCUAAGGUAGAGGUACCAAACAAUGUAGCUUGGGACGCCAAGCUGCAAAAUAUAAAGGUCCUGAUAAUAAUGAAUCUCAAUCGAUUAUAUCAAGUAUGGAACAUAAUGGAACCAAUAAGGAAUGUCGACAUAAGAUGAUUUAUUUGCAUACAAGGUAGCACUUGAAUUUAUGAAUAUAAGCGAAGAUCAUGAACCCACGUCAAUAUAAGAGUGCGCACUCGUAGAACAGAUUGGAUUUAAUGGAAACAUGGGGUUAAAUAGUUUAAAGAAUAAAGGUAUAUUUGGCCAUAUGAUUAAGACGCCAUAUGAUGUUAAAACCAGUGGAUAUAAAUGGGUCUUGUGAGAAAUAGAAAUAGUGAGAUAUAAAGCUGAUGUUGCACAAGGAUUCUCACAAAGACCAGUAAUAGAUUAGGAGGAGACAUACUCUUAUGUGGUGGAUGCAACUACUUUUAGAUUUCUCAUAAGUCUGGCUAUAUAAGAGAGAAAAUUAGACUUGCAGCAAGUUGAUGUAGUGACUGCAUAUUUAUAUGGUCCACUGGAUAAUGAAAGUACUAGAGGGUAUUGAGCUGAAAGUACAACAAGUUCUCGAGAACAAUAUUGAUAAUCAUCAAAGUAUAUGAUCUGAAUAUCCUAGGAACCUCUGGAUACAAUUUCCCAAACAGUUGAAUAUCUCAAGAAAGAGUUUGAGAUGAAAGAUCUUGGAAAACAAAGUUUUGUUUGGGAUUACAGCUUGAGUACAUUAACAAUGAAAUCCUUGUGCAUCAAAUAGUAUAUACAGAAAAGGGUACUCAAGAGAUUUAAUAUGGACCAGUCUCAACAUUUAUCUAGUACAUGGGCGUGAGAUCACUUGUUUUGGACACUGAUCCAUUCAGUCCAAAGGUGGAUGAUAAAGAAGUCCAUUUAGUCCUGAGAUGGACGAUGCAGAAGUCUUGUUUUAGACACUGAUCUGAUUGGUCUAUAAGAAGGACGAUGAAGAAACCUUUGAUUUUGAUUUAUUUUAUACUAACCAGCCCAAAGAGGGGUUAUUUGGUUUUGUUGAUUUGUUUUCAGACAUGUUAUGUUUUACACAUGGUGGUACACGCAUAUCACGGCAACAUCAUCCAAGAUUUCGUGUGUGUGUAUUUGAGGUUGAUGACUCAAUAUGUUCGAUCAGAUUGUGGCAUGGCCGAUGGUAAAGAAGAACCAACUAUCAUGUUCGAGGACGAAGCAUAUUCUGCCCAAGAUCUUCAUCACCCACGGAUUGCAAAAAAUUGGAGAAGUCCAAGGGACCUUCAGUAAUGUCCAAAUCAGGGGGAGUAAUGUGUGUUGUACUAUUUUUCCUUCACCAUGGUUUUGUCCCAAUUGGGUUUUCCUGGUGAGAUUUUAAUGAUGCAACAUUAAAGCACAUUACAAGCUCUAAAUGGUUAUGGCAUCCAAGGGAGAGUGUUAUGAACCAGAUUGUGGAUGGCUCAUAACCAAGAGAUUAUGAUUUGUAAUCUUUCCAUUUAUCUAUGACGGUGUAAUCUCUUAUAUAAGGAACCUCUAUGUUAUGAAUAAAGAUAGACUUUUCCAUUAUUACUUUUAUAACAGUAUACUUAUAAAAAUUGAAAUAAUUACCCACACGGUUGUGCGGGUAGAGAUCUAGUUUCUUAUUAAAUGUUUUGUUUUCUCCAUGUCCACACUCCCUUGUUUCUGAUUCAACCUUUGAUUGUUUGAUUAAAUAUGUAUAAUCUAAAUCAACAAUAACCAAAUAUAUAUAUAUACUCAACUAAAAUUUGGGUUUAACGAUCAUCGUCCAUUUUAUAAGAAAAUUCCUCUUGGAUCGAUCUUUUUAUAUUUUUCUUGAUUGACUUUUUAAUCGAAUCCAAGUCUUGCUUCUCUUUGUUUUGGUGUCCACGAUCUCGAAAAAGAAACAGCCAACUGAUUGGUCACUUUCACAGUCCCUCUGGUACGUUAUCCUUUGAUUUUUCAACAUUAUACUUAAAGCUCAAUACCAAAAUCUCAAAGAUAAGCCACUACAUGAUCAUGAUGUGUGUGACCUACGAGCUUGGACUCGAACCCACGAGCCAAUCAUGUAAGUAGCAAUGAAAAGAUCAAGCCAACACAAAUGAUGAAUAGGCCCAUGCCUUGCCCCCAUUCUGUUCCCUUCUUUAUUAAUCUACAGAAACAAAAUCUUCUUCAGAAGAAGAUGCGUGAGCUUUCAACACGAUAAAGAUUGAUGCAAAGUCAUAUAAGGAAACAGCCAAAUCAAUAGCUUGGUGGGUUUGGUCUUCCAAAAGUAAAUUAUGGAAGAACAUGAAUGUCUCUUAUGUACAUUGUCCUGGAAAGAGAGCUCUGAGACCUGAUUACGCAAAAGACUAAUUGCAGAUCACAAAAAAGGAGAAGAGAACGCUAUUUGGAACUGCAGGCAUUGAUACACAAACCAUAAUACAUUAAACACUUGACAAAAGUACAUGUUGAUAUGUCUGUCAGAUUACUACAAGAGUUUCUUUCACCAAUCUGCUUUGCUACCAAUGUACCCUAUGUAAGAGAGAUACUAUAAAGAUCUCCUCUCAACUAUAGUAUAUACACAUUCCUCUGUUUUAGGAAAUGUUAGUUAUUAUCUAACUUAGUCUCCAAGACUAAACUCUGUAUAUAAACCUCUAUUGUACAUUACGUUCAAGAUAUCAUAAUACAUUUCCUAUACCCUAAAUAAGAUAAGUAAACACACAAAAAAGAGCAUUGCUCUAACUUAAAACCUAGUGAGUAAGAAUAAUAACAGUUUUCUCCAAUUUCGAUGAUCUCUCAGAUCCAACCAUUGCUCCCUUGCUCAACCACAGUAUAGCUUCUCCACAAUCUAAUCCCUACAAAUUCUUAUCUGUACAGCAACAACAACAACGCACAAUUCACGUUUUCAGUAACUCAUUUGAGCAGAUGCUCAAAGUUAUGGUUCCAAAUCAACAAUCUGAGACCUCACAAGGUAACAUAGAGUUUCAAUCUUCAAAAUCACAUAAGAAUGAAAAUUCUAACCAUAUAUUCACAAUUGCUUGGCAGAAACAGAGACCAAGAAAGUUCCCAUCCUCUGCUUCUAUAACUCAAUCAUCAUCCUCUACUUCACUAAAACAAUCCACUACCAAUUAAAUUGGUAAAAACAGGGUGAAGCUAUCAAGAAAAUAUCAGACUACGUUGCACAGCUAAGAAGAAUCGGAAAGGGUCACUAAGAUCAUAUUUUAAAAGUAAGACUGCACUUUCUUGUGGAUGUGUUUAUACGUUAAUAACACCGUUUCUGGUGUGAAAAACUGCAGGAGUGUGGCAUUUUGAUCAAAUGCUUCUGAAUGAGGUUUAAGGAAGAAAGUUGGAGCUUUUGAUGACAUAUCUUUUCCUUGUGCUACGGCACUCUUCUAUGUUUAGUUUACAUAGACGUCUCUAAAGUUUGAUAUGGAUAAUGGAUUUUCACUUUUUCUGUUCUUGUGUUGUUUUAACUUUUAACUGAAUGCUUUGUGAGUAUGUUAAUAGUAUAAGUCGUAGUAGUCUGAGAAUAAAUGCAUAUCCAAUGCUUGUCCAUAAAAAGUUGGUUUAAUUUUGGGUGUCCAUAAAAGUCAGUGACGUGUUGUUUUUGACAUAGGAAUCGUAUUUGAACAAAGAUUGUCUCCUUGAGUAGCCUCACGAAUUCUAAAACAGAGCAAAAACUGGGUUCUGCAAUAAACAUAUUGAUUCACCGAGUUUGGUUACAUCUACAGACAAAACAAAAUUAUUAUUGGAGACGAUUUUCAGAAUUAAAUUAGUUAUUAGAAUUAGUUAGAACACAAGAUAUAUAUAGAAUAUCUCUAAUCUUGAAAGAUCUUAGUGUGCAUCAGACUCAUGGGUUUAGGUCUCACAAUCGACACAACUUCCAAUGAUGUAAUGCAUUUGAUGCAUAUCAGCAAAACCAUCGAUCCAUCUUUUGUUUUAUUUUUGUUAUAAGAGAGAAUAGCUACUGGCCAUAUAUUGAAGAAACAAGAACACGAUCGAGCAAAGUCUGGGGUUUUCCUUACCAUCUCGCCCUGAGGAAUACUAGUUGAAUAAUGUACUCACGAUGAUAUGGCUCGAUCAUAAGUAGAUUCACGAGAAAGAGUUGGUUCUUCUGUCAUGAAGCAUGUACUCACUAUUUAUUUGAUUUCAAGCAGGUUAAUAUUUUGUUCAUUUUGAUUGAUUCUUAGAAAAUAUUUGAUUUUUUUUUUGUCAUGUUUGCAUAUAUUUCUCAUUAUGAAAGUUAUGAGGAAUAAACCAAAAAUAAGACUUUUCUCCGUUGAUUUUUCUUGAAAACGUUGAUGUUUGUUUUUAUUCUUAUUUUUUAAAAAGAGAUUCUUUCUUAUUUUGAAAUCCCAUCAAAAUUAAACUAGUUUAGCAGUUAUCUCAAUUAGUUCUUUUUUUAAUUAAAGCAAGAGGAAUGUCAUAAAAUCCUGAAUUUUUAAAAAGAUAAAACAUUUACUAUCAAAUCGAAAGAUUACAAUAUAUGCAAAUGCAGGGGUCUCGUAAACGUUAGUUUUUAGGUCAAUAUGCAUGCGCGUCUUGUAAACGUUAAUUUAACUCCAAACAUACACCUAAGCAAAAUAAGACUUCGUAAAUUACGUCUUCUAUGGUGUGGACAGUUUUUUUUUUUUAAAAAUACUUGUAAUUAGUAAAGGGGACCAAUAUGCGCGGAAAUUUGACCUAAUAGUUUUCUCUCUGGCCCGAUAAUCGAGGUGCCGUCUCAACCGUUUCACUCCGACGCCGGUAGAGCCAUGGCUCGCCGGCGUCGGGUGCUUCAACCUCCGCGUCGUCCUCUUUCUUUUCGUAUCUGUUCAAGCUCAAGAUCCCGUGCUCUGUUCACCGUUCGUAUGACCCUUUCUUGGUCGAAGUUGUCUUCCAUUUCGUAUUUUUCCGGGGGUUCCCGACUACAGUUUUCACUCCCCUCCUCUACUCAACGCCAUCAACGCCAUAGCUCUGCUGGUCCGGCUAUUAUCUAACUUAGUCUCCAAGACUAAACUCUGUAUAUAAACCUCUAUUGUACAUUACGUUCAAGAUAUCAUAAUACAUUUCCUAUACCCUAAAUAAGAUAAGUAAACACACAAAAAAAAAGCAUUGCUCUAACUUGAAACCUAGUGAGUAAGAAUAAUAACAGUUGUCUCCAAUUUCGAUGAUCUCUCAGAUCCAACCAUUGCUCCCUUGCUCAACCACAGUAUAGCUUCUCCACAAUCUAAUCCCUACAAAUUCUUAUCUGUACAGCAACAACAACAAGGCACAAUUCACGUUUUCAGUAACUCAUUUGAGCAGAUGCUCAAAGUUAUGGUUCCAAAUCAACAAUCUGAGACCUCACAAGCUAACAUAGAGUUUCAAUCUUCAAAAUCACAUAAGAAUGAAAAUUCUAACCAUAUAUUCACAAUUGCUUAGCAGAAACAGAGACCAAGAAAGUUCCCAUCCUCUGCUUCUAUAACUCAAUCAUCAUCCUCUACUUCACUAAAACAAUCCACUACCAAUUAAAUUGGUAAAAACAGGGUGAAGCUAUCAAGAAAAUAUCAGACUACGUUGCACAGCUAAGAAGAAUCGGAAAGGGUCACUAAGAUCAUAUUUUAAAAGUAAGACUGCACUUUCUUGUGGAUGUGUUUAUACGUUAAUAACACCGUUUCUGGUGUGAAAAACUGCAGGAGUGUGGCAUUUUGAUCAAAUGCUUCUGAAUGAGGUUUAAGGAAGAAAGUUGGAGCUUUUGAUGACAUAUCUUUUCCUUGUGCUACGGCACUCUUCUAUGUUUAGUUUACAUAGACGUCUCUAAAGUUUGAUAUGGAUAAUGGAUUUUCACUUUUUCUGUUCUUGUGUUGUUUUAACUUUUAACUGAAUGCUUUGUGAGUAUGUUAAUAGUAUAAGUCGUAGUAGUCUGAGAAUAAAUGCAUAUCCAAUGCUUGUCCAUAAAAAGUUGGUUUAAUUUUGGGUGUCCAUAAAAGUCAGUGACGUGUUGUUUUUGACAUAGGAAUCGUAUUUGAACAAAGAUUGUCUCCUUGAGUAGCCUCACGAAUUCUAAAACAGAGCAAAAACUGGGUUCUGCAAUAAACAUAUUGAUUCACCGAGUUUGGUUACAUCUACAGACAAAACAAAAUUAUUAUUGGAGACGAUUUUCAGAAUUAAAUUAGUUAUUAGAAUUAGUUAGAACACAAGAUAUAUAUAGAAUAUCUCUAAUCUUGAAAGAUCUUAGUGUGCAUCAGACUCAUGGGUUUAGGUCUCACAAUCGACACAACUUCCAAUGAUGUAAUGCAUUUGAUGCAUAUCAGCAAAACCAUCGAUCCAUCUUUUGUUUUAUUUUUGUUAUAAGAGAGAAUAGCUACUGGCCAUAUAUUGAAGAAACAAGAACAGGAUCGAGCAAAGUCUGGGGUUUUCCUUACCAUCUCGCCCUGAGGAAUACUAGUUGAAUAAUGUACUCACGAUGAUAUGGCUCGAUCAUAAGUAGAUUCACGAGAAAGAGUUGGUUCUUCUGUCAUGAAGCAUGUACUCACUAUUUAUUUGAUUUCAAGCAGGUUAAUAUUUUGUUCAUUUUGAUUGAUUCUUAGAAAAUAUUUGAUUUUUUCUUUGUCAUGUUUGCAUAUAUUUCUCAUUAUGAAAGUUAUGAGGAAUAAACCAAAAAUAAGACUUUUCUCUGUUGAUUUUUUUUGAAAACGUUGAUGUUUGUUUUUAUUCUUAUUUUUUAAAAAGAGAUUCUUUCUUAUUUUGAAAUCCCAUCAAAAUUAAACUAGUUUAGCAGUUAUCUCAAUUAGUUCUUUUUUUAAUUAAAGCAAGAGGAAUGUCAUAAAAUCCUGAAUUUUUAAAAAGAUAAAACAUUUACUAUCAAAUCGAAAGAUUACAAUAUAUGCAAAUGCAGGGGUCUCGUAAACGUUAGUUUUUAGGUCAAUAUGCAUGCGUCUUGUAAACGUUAAUUUAACUCCAAACAUACACCUAAGCAAAAUAAGACUUCGUAAAUUACGUCUUCUAUGGUGUGGACAAUUUUUUUUAAAAAAAAUUCUUGUAAUUAGUAAAGGGGACCAAUAUGCGUGGAAAUUUGACCUAAUACUUUUCUGUUUCACUCCGACGCCGGUAGAGCCAUGGCUCGCCGGCGUCGGGCGUUUCAACCUCCGCGUCGUCCUCUUUCUUUUCGUAUCUGUUCAAGCUCAAGAUCCCGUGCUCUGUUCACUGUUCAUAUGACCCUUUCUUGGUCGAAGUUGUCUUCCAUUUCGUAUUUUUCCGGGGGCUCCCGACUACAGUUUUCACUCCCCUCCUCUACUCAACGCCAUCAACGCCAUAGCUCUGCUGGUCCGGCUUCCGUCAAGAAUCAGAUCUGUGAGGCUCAAUCUUCCUCUCCUCCCUACGUGUCUCCUCGGCUAGAAAGCCCCCUCCGACAUUCGUCUUCCAUACCACCACAAGUCCAACUUCAAGCUUCGGCUUCCGACGUCUACAAACCCGGUGUCCGUGGGGCUCCACAAUUAACUCGGAUUUUAGAUCUGGAAUUUUGUCAGUUGUCUCGGUUGUGCUCACCUUAUGUCUCCUCUCUAUCACCACUGUCGCUGGCCUUCCUACUCCUCUCACCGCUCCAUUGUCAUCAUCUCAGCCAUAUCAGCUAAACAUCGCCGCUUCUUUGCUCCGCCGUGAUUCCUCGCAGUUCAUCGGGUUCUUUGACCGAGGAAGGCUGAGUCAUUUUGUUCAUGAGAUGGGCUACUUUCAUUUUGCAGUGAGCUUGACAAGCCCAAUAAAGCUCCAAGGCUCCCAUCUCUUCCUAGCAGUUUCACAGCCCACUUUGAUGUGGGGUGGAUUCGUCUCCUUGACUAAUCUUCUAAAAAUGUUUGGCGGGUUCACUAGCGUUUUUACAGAGACAUAUAUACACACAAAGUUUCAUCUCUCUUGUUUGAAGAGUAGCCUUUCUUUCCAUUUACCGGUGGGUUCACCGGGACCAUCAUGUUCAUCCUUUGCUUCCUUUUUAAGGAGUACUUUCCCUCCAAUCUUGUGGAGGUGUUUGUCCAUAUCUAUAACCGUCUUGCUAUCUUGUGCAGCGGUCCGUUCGGGGCCUGAAAAUGCAGCGGGAUUCGUUUCGACGAGUUUCCGAGGUGCGGAUUGGAUGUCAACGCCACAAUUUAAUGUGACUAUUUCUCUGCUGUCCGACCAUGUCGUGAAAGCUACACUGACGCAUUCAAGCAUUGUCUUGAGUUCGUUGUCAUCUUCUUCUUUUGAAGACCUAUCCUUUUUAUCUUAUGUUGGUGUAGUUUAUGUUUUCAAUUAAAGCGGAUGGAUAAUUCCCUCUAUUAUUUGUAAUCAAGCAAGUUGAACUUAAUGAAAAAGUUGUGUUUCAAAAAAAAAAAGAUUUUGCUUUCGACGUGAUGAAUAUUGGAUUUAUCUCUGUGGGUAUUUUUUGUGUGGAAUAAAAACGAAGUCUAUUAUUGUGCUAUAAAGAGGUGGCCAUGGAAGCAUGUUACUCAUCACCAAUUUCCCUGUUCUUUUUUGCUCUUUCAUUUUAAAGUUAAAUAAGCUUAAAAGAAGAAUGAAAGGCUUUUGGAACAUAACGAGUACCAUUUCUCUUACUCUUUCCAUACUUUUCUUAUUCAGCUACAGUUAUGAGGACGUGUCUGCGGUUCCAACUAGGCACUUGUGUCGUCCGGAACAAAGGGAUGCACUUCCCCAAUUCAAGACCGAGUUCGAGGUUCUAAACUCUUCCUUUUCUUCUUAUAAUUGUUAUAUCAAUGAUGAUAUACUAGUGUCUUAUCGGAAGACGGACUCAUGGGCGAAUAACAGCGACUGCUGUAAUUGGGAGGGUGUCACGUGCGAUGCCAAAUCCGGUGAAGUGAUCGAGCUAGACCUUAGUUGCAGCAACCUACGUGGCGAGUUUCAUUCCAAUAGCAGUCUUCAAAGCCUUCAUUCUCUAAACACUCUAAACCUUUCACGUAAUGAUUUCAAUGGUCAAAUCAUGUCUUCAAUUGGAAACCUUUCUCAUAUCACCUCUCUCGACCUUUCACAAAAUUAUUUCAGCGAGUUCAUUCCUUCUUCGAUAGUAGACCUUUCUCAUCUCACCUUUCUCGAUCUUUCAUUUAAUAGCUUUUCUGGUCAGAUUCCAUCUUCGAUUGGAAAUCAUUCUCAUCUCACCAAUCUUGGCCUUUCUUAUAACCAGAUUUCUGGUCAGAUUCCAUCUUCUAUUGGAAAUCUUUAUAAGCUCACUCGUCUUGAUCUUUCUGAUAACAAUAUUGUUGGAGAAACCCCAUCUUCUUUUGGCAAUCUAAACCAGUUGACCAGCUUAAAUGUUGGUCUCAAUAGGCUCAAUGGAAGCUUUCCCAUUGCACUACUGAAUUUGACAAAGUUGUCAUCUUUGCUACUCUUAUGACAAUCAGUUCACAGGAACAAUUCCUCAUAACAUCACUUCACUAUCCAAAUUGACGACCUUUUAUGCAAGCGACAACGCUUUCACUGGGACCCUGCCUUCUUCUCUCUUCACCAUUCCUUCUAUGGAACGUGUUGAUUUGUCUGAUAACCAACUCAACGGUAAUCUUGAGCUUGGGAAUAUAUCUUCACCACCUAAGCUACGAGAGUUAACAAUAACAACUUGAGAGGGCCAAUCCCAGUCACGAUAUCAAAAUUUACCAACCUUGUCCGACUUGACCUUUCCCACUACAAGACACAAGGUCCAAUUGAUUUUAGUAUCUUCUCGCAUCUCAAGUGGCUGGAAGUUCUUGACCUAUCCUAUUUGAACACGACCACUACCAUUGACUUGAAUGAUAUCUUGUCGUAUUUUAAGAGGCUCAGUUACUUGCUUCUCUCAGGCAACCUUGUUUCAUUCAACCUUUGCUGCGUUAUUUGGAAUUGUCAGGCUGUGGUAUCACCGAGUUUCCAGAGUUUGCAAGAUCGCAAAAUAUGAGGAGUCUAGACAUUUCCAACAAUAAAAUCAAAGGACAAGUGCCUGGCUGGUUAUGGACACUACCAAAUCUGUAUCACCUGGAUCUUUCCAACAACACUUUCAUUGGCUUCGAAAAACCAACAACAGUUUUAGUUUCAAGGCUAUCCUUGCUUGCCUCCAACAACAAUUUUACGGGAAAGAUUCCCUCUUUCAUAUGUGAUUUGCGCAAUGUAGACACUCUUGAUUUAUCAAACAACAACUUCAGUGGUUUAAUCCCUAGUUGUCUGGGAAAUCUCAAGCCUACUCUUGAAUAUCUAAACCUUCGUCAGAAUCGUCUUCAUGGAGGUCUUCCAGAGAAUAUAUUUGGAAACUUAAGAACGCUUGACAUCGGUCAUAACCAACUGACGGGAAAGCUUCCAAGAUCUUUGAUCCGGUUCUCUAGUCUUGAAGUUCUGAACGUGGAAAGCAACAUUAUCAAUGGUACGUUUCCGUUUUGGUUGAGUUCUCUACCGGAACUCAAAGUUCUUGUGUUACGCUUUAAUGCCUUCCAUGGACCGAUACAUCAAACUUCGUUCCCUGAGUUGCAAAUCAUCGACAUAUCACACAAUCACUUCAAUGGAGCUUUGCCAUCAGACUUCUUUGUGAAGUGGAGUGCUAUGUCAUCACUUGGGACUGUUUAUUAUGAUCAGCAUGAUCAGCUGGAUGACAAGUACAUGGGAGGUUCCUAUUACCAUGAUUCAAUGGUGUUGAUGAAUAAAGGUAUAGAGAUGGAGUUUGUACGUAUCCUAAAGAUCUACACAGCACUCGACUUUUCAGGAAACAAAUUUGAAGGAGAGAUCCCAAGGUCCAUUGGCCUAUUAAAAGAGCUUCUUGUGCUCAACUUGUCUAACAAUGCUUUCUCUGGCCACAUCCCUUCAUCUAUGGGAAACCUGACGGCUCUUGAGUCACUGGACGUUUCCCAAAACCAGCUUUCAGGAGAAAUACCGCAAGAGCUAGGGGAACUCUCAUUCCUUUCCUACAUGAACUUCUCUCAUAACAAGCUUACAGG